RNAcentral lists this long non-coding RNA (65946 nucleotides) under Brassica napus (rape). Its description in RNAcentral is "long non-coding RNA (BNAP_LNC011370)". Lineage: Eukaryota; Viridiplantae; Streptophyta; Magnoliopsida; Brassicales; Brassicaceae. The record is from RNAcentral.
AAAGUCACAAAAAUAGCACUUGAUGUUUUAUCAAAAGUCACAAACUUAGGGUUUAGAGUUAAAGGGUGGGGUUUAGGAUUUAGGGUUUAGAGUUUAGGGUUUAGAGUUUAGGGUUUCGGGUUUAGAGUUUAGGGUUUAGAGUUUAGGGUUUAGGGUUUAGAGUUGAGAAAUUAGGUUUUGGGGAUAAGAUUUCAAAUUUUGGAAAAUAAAAAAAUUAAAAUUUUCAAAAGAUAAAAUGCUAUUUUGGUCAUUUUAGAUUUUGAAUGCUAUUUUUGUGAUAUAAACUUAGAAAGGCGCUAUUUUGGAGAUUUGCCCAAAAAAAAACCUCAGAGAUUAAUUAGCCUUCAGACUUUAGGAUGAGCUAUAAUAGCUUCUCUGGAGAUUUCGCUAUUUCUGUUGGAAAACUUUAGAAAUACAAGUCCGUCUUUACUGUACAUAUAGCUGAUGAAGUUGCUGCCGCUGAAUCGAAUCGAAUCGAAUCGUGGGUGAGGUUCUUGCCGUGUUGGGAAUAUUGUAUUUGAAUACUUUAAGGCUCUGUAAUAUCCAAAUUAUACGAGAGCAACUUUAUUAGGCGUUGAGACACAUAUACUUCUUUUUCUUGUGGCUGAUGAACAACAGUUUCCCAUGGAUCAACAUGUCGGAACCAAUGAUGAAUCCAACAAGUAGAGUGAUUCUGUCUUCACAAAUUUCAGCCGCAGAUUGCUAAUUUUUUUUAUUUUCUUUGUGUUGAAUCAGGAAACCAAGAGUUUCUUAUAUACACGUGGAAGUUUCUUUUAUCCUUGAGCGAUAUUAUGGGUCCGAUUGGUAAUGGCUGUAAAAUUUUAUGGAAAGCACUAAAAAAUUGCUUUGGAUAUUUGGCUCUGCAGAGCACUUGUACAGCUGUAGGUUAUUUUAAGAGCUGUGGUUUCAAAAAAAAAAUAGGGUUGUGGACAGCACCUACCGCAACUACCAAUCACAUAGAUUUUUUUAAGAAGCUUCCAAAUCUUCCAAGUGAAUUUAAUGAUUUACUCUUGCGGUGAGACUAUAUUUUAUCUGAAAUGUAUUUUUUAUGUAUGGUUUGGAGAGAUAUGUCUUGAUCUGUACACUACUCUUUAUAUGUGCAGUGACUCCCAAGAUCCUUCACCCGAGCUACACAGAAUUAAUGGCGAUUUUGUUUCUCACGGCCUGAGGCGGAAUGACUAUAGUUCAUCGCCUCCCACAAGGGGUGAAUUUGGUAGAUUGUAUAAUUUGGCACUCAUGGAAGAUGGGAAGGGCGCGCAACUAGUCACAAGAUAAACUUGUAAUCGCAUGUUCAUGUACUUGCAUUACGUAUGGAAUUUGACCUGACAAAUGUCUAUAUCCUUGUAGAAAAUUGUUGAUAGAGUAGAAGAGACACAGAGCCCUCAGACUGUUAAAUCGUCAAAGUUGGCACAUCUAUAUCUUGAAGAAGGUAAUCAUCAUCCACUGAACAAUAAUAAUGCAGAUAACAAGCCAGACGUAGAUCUCCCAUCCAGUAGGCCACCAGGAGGGUUACUGUCACUACUUCAAGGUGCAGAUAAAUUGCAAACCUUUGACACAAAAGCAAAGGGUGAGCUUUCGAUGGAUUUUCCUUAUGAAGGCCAUCCCACUACAAACGUUGAUAAGUUAAGCGCAAGUAAAUCAGUAACAGCUGCUCCACCAGUUAUCAUCCUCCAGUUGACCAAGACUUGAGUGUUUCGUCAGUGAAGAAAACCAAUCAAAGGGAAACAUCUGUUGACAACCAAAGCUUCCCAGCACCUUCUUUCUUUAUUACAGAGAAGUGCAGACCCAAAGAGUCAAGACACGCUGCUACUUUCAGUUACAGAUAGUAGACCACCACCUACAGCUGGAGAAGCAAAUCCGGGGAAGUCUUUGACUCUUGAGAAUCUGUUUGGGAGUGCCUUCAUGAACGAACUGCAGUCAAUUGGAGGACCUGUCUCUGUGGUUUCUGAUGCUCCUGGGGUCCCGCUUCGAUUAGAGAGGUCUAUCGGUGAACUGAGCCAAAGAAAUCAAACGAGACCUGACUGUUUCCCCGGAGGUAAUUUAAUCGCAGCUGGCACAAAAAUACAUGUCUUCUCCAUGACCGCGUAAUCAGGAGCCUGAAGUAACUUUCAACAUCUCUGACAAGCUAGCUGCUUUAAACUCUGGUCCAAGGAGUGAAAGACCAAUAAUGGGAGGUCAAGAUGGUCCCUUUCUUCACCAUCAUCCUCGACAGUACGCAACCAACCCCUCUUCUCACUUGAAAGGUUCAGGCCUAGUCUUCCAUCCUUUGGAUACUCAACAUGCUCCUCAUCAUGGGCCAAGGAAGCGUCAUAGCUCAACAUCAGGAUCCUCCACCAAGCAUGAUUCAUCGCCCACCUUCAGCAACUAGUGGGCUUCCCGAGUUUGAUCGUCUUCCUCCACAUAUGCAAGAUAACCUGCAACGCCAUCAUCUAAUGCAAGGAUUCCCCAGUGGUGGUCCACCACACCAUCACUCUCCUAAUGUGAACAACCAAAUUCCGGGUCUCAUCCCCGAGUUAAAUCCAUCACAAGGCUUUCCCUUCGCCCAUCACCAACCCAGCUACGGUAUGCCACCACAAGGUAUAACAAAUGAUAACCCAAAUCCAUUUGCUACUUUGCCCUUUAAAGAUUCAACUUCCGCUCAUUUAUUCCUGGAUUCAAAAUCUUGUGUAUUUGGUCUCGAGUCAGUCUUAAUGUCCAACUAUGAAGGGACUAGUUGAUUUUGUAUUUGGUCUCUUAAAACACUUUUUUUUUUCAUUUUGUGGCUUUGCAAGUUCUCAAGGCAACAGAGUUGAUCAUCCAGCUUCACCGGCAAUGGGUCAAGCUGGUGGUCCUAAUCGUCAAGGCUCAAUGGGUCAGGAACUUAACCUUGGUUUUGGAUACAGGUAACUCUGCUCUGCCCACAAUCCUCUUGACAACCCUAAGAGGUGUCUCUGCCUAACACUAAGUUGCUUUGUGAUGUGCAAGUAGUCAAAUUAUCAUUUGAAAAAGAUGAAAAGAAGAAAAAGUAUCUCUUGCUUGCUGCUAGUGAUGUGGAUGCUUUUAGUGUACAGUGUGGUUUCGAGUCCGUGUGGUUGGCAUUGUCUAUUUUAGGUUUCUGUUCUUUUUUUAUAACCCGUUGAUCAGAUCUCAAUGGCUCCAUGUGUGUCAAAUAUAAGUGUGACUUAGGUUUUUGUUGAUGAUGAUGUACAACAAAAUACCAUUGCUGCGAGGUCAUCUCUCAUGUUAAACCUUCUAUCCUUGAUCAUGGGAUUAUCACAUUUCUUCUGAGCAUUAUUAUCCUCACCCUUCUUAUCUUCCAUAUUAGAAUCUGGCAUGCCAAAAAAAAAAAGAGUUCCAGCGUACAUGAUCCAAGAUUAGUACUGCAAGUCUUUGAAACUUUUAUAUCCCUUAGAGCUCUAUUCUCACUCUCUUCAGUUACCAUCUCAAGUUCUCUCACUCGCUUUUGUCAUCUCAAUCUGACAUGAGAUCUGUUCUUGUGUUUGAAACAGAGAAUAUCAAACGCAAGAACAGAGAGAUAAACCUAUAGUCUAUCUAUCUUCUUUUCCAAAAGUUUCUUUAGAAGACCAAGUUUUGCCUCUGCCCAGCUGAUUGCACUUAGCUAGGACUCCUGUUAGAGGAUAUGUACACAAGAAUGUUUUACUAGAGUUCAAAAAAUAAAAUUUGAAGACUUGGGAAAAUAAGAGAGGAAGUAAAAACAUGGCGUGAGAGAAAAAGGUUGAAAUUUCAGAGGAGAGUGAUAACAACCAAAGCUUUCUUUUUAUUUUAAAGUAUUUAAGAUUUAUUUACAAACCACAAAUCACGGCGUCAAUUACAAGUUUGAUUCAACCAAAAUGUAUUUUAAUCAUAUUUGGCUAGACUAGCUUCGUUCACUCAAUACAUCGAGGUUCCGGUAGUCAGAUCCGUAGUCUUUAAAAAAUUAAUCAUCGUUUUUAAUCGUUGAUGGGUAACCAAUAGAGUUAUUUUUAUUUUUUCUGAUGCCGGUCAUUUCAUGGUAUCAAUGGAAUAGUUGAUUUUUGAUGAUUUUUUCAAGCUCACAACCAGCAACCAAAGUUGUAUCUUUAAGCCCAGCGUUUUAAGACUUAUGGCCCAUUGAUUGCUGUUUACCGACUUAACUUGUGAGUUGUCGAACUACCAACAAAAUCACAUUAGUUGACACUUGACACACAAUGUUUAAAUCAAUACUCUAUCUUGAUUUUAGUAACGUUUUAAGACUUAUGGCCCAUUAAUACUACUCCCUCCGGAUACGAACGUAAGAUGUUCUAUAUUUUUAUCUUGUAUACAAAUGUAUGAUGUUUUGAGAUAUAAUUAAUGCAUUUAUUUUUAAAAUUUAAACAUAAAUUAAAAAGUAAAAUUAUGAGUGGUGAAACUUUAUUGAUAUAAUCAAAAAGUAACAACUAAAAUAUUGUAUUUAUUGUUUCUUAAUAUGUGUGUAAAACCUUAAACAAAGAACAUUCAAGAAGAGGUUGCAACGAAACUAGGCUUGGCUGGAGAGGAUUGGAUCCUCAAAAAUGAAGACCAAAUGAAAAUAUAUUAAAUAAAAUUAAUUUUUAUAUAUAGAUAUUACUAUUUUUGAAAUAGUUAUUAAUAAAACUUACGGAUCCGGAUAUCCGGACUAAAAAAUAAAGAUAUCCGGAUCCGGCUUUGAUGGAUCCAACAUUUUACUAUCCGGAUCCGGAUCGAAUCUCGGAUCGAAUCCGGAUCUCGGAUAAAAAUCUCAGGCUCAGUGGAGCCCACUUGUAGCGUUUCUUUAAAAGAAACUGUUCCCUUACGGUUUCACGUGGCUUAUGGACCAGACUGGGUCUUGAAAAUCUCGACCGUCCGAUGAGCCGGGACACUAAGAAAACCUAGAUGUUCAGAUUUGACCGUCGGAUGGUUGACAGAAAGGAGAAAGCUAGAGAAAGAGUUCUAAGGUGGGGGACCCAAAAGGUUGACAGAUCACUUUUAUGAAAAUGUCAACUUUUUUACGCGCGGAGAUUACGCGCUCUCGCCGGCUCGCACGUGUGCUACAUUCUGCUAUAGGCCUAAGCAUUUUAAUCAGAAUCCAAAAAUGCGAACCGAAACCGAUCCGAAAAUAUCUGAUCCAGAAACGAACUGAAAAUUUAUAUAUACCUUUUGAGUCCAAAUUUCUUUUACCCGAAAGAACCAUAACCGAAAGAUACCGAUCCGAAUAGACCCAGACCCGAAAAGAACCGAUCCAAAUAGAUCUGAUCCGGGAAGAACCGACUUGUACCCAACUUAAAAACAUGUAUAUCCAAAAUUAUGAUUUUUUGUGUUCUAUUUUAUAUAUAUUAUUUUAUGAUUUAGUUAAAAUAUCUUUUGUUAACAAUAUUUGUUAUUAAUUUAAGUUAUUUUGUAAAAUUUUAGAUAUAUAUGACAAAUAUGGACUAAAUUUAAUGGAGUUUGGGUAUGUCGUGUCCUUUUCAAGUCUUAAAUACCUAAAUCCGAUCCGGAUUCGAUAUGGACCCAAAAAGUACGGAUAUUUUAUAAGUAUUUUAAUUAUAGAUCUGAACCGAUCUGGACCCGAGAAGAACCGACUCAAAUCCAAACCGAAAAUUUAUAAGUACCUAUUGGGUCCAAAUAUUUAGGAUCUGAAAGACCACGAUCCGAAAAGAACCGGUUGGAAUUCCAAUCUGGAGAUCCAAACGGUCAGGCCUUGCUAUACUGGUAAAAUAUUUUUAUUUUUCUUACUACAAAUGUACAACGUAAUGAUGAAUAUAUUUUCUUACUUAUAAAUGAUUAACUAGCAAGUUUUUUUUCUUUUUGAGAAACAAGUAUUUUCAUAAAAUUUAUUGUUUGAAAUCAUCUUUCCUUUCAAGUACUGAAUCCUAUUUUAAACUGGAUGAAACUAGGAGUUUUUUUGGCAAUAAACAUAGAAUUGUUUAAGUUCAUAUAUACAACUCUUUUUUCAUAUAUACAAGACUUGAGUGCGGAAACUAUGAUAUCUUAUCGGAUUUUUAAACAAUCUCAAACACACUACUUAUAUAUAUACUUUUUGUAAUCAAAGUUGCAUGUGCUUUGUUGUUAUUCUUAAAAGGUAAAGAAUAAUACAACAGUGUCCCAUGUAUCGAGUAUGUGACAGAGGAUCAUCAACUAUGGUGCUAAAUGACAAUCACUAUAUCUUUCUAUCUACUUACUUUUUCUUUAUAUAUUGAUGCAUAUUUUAAAAAUUGAAAUGGAAUACAUAUGUUAUCCAUGAAUAAUUUUAAAUUUUAAAAACAUCAGUUGCUGCAGGACUGUUGAUCGUAAUGUCGAAAGUUCACAAUGGUUUGAAGAGAGAUAAAUGAGACACAUUAUUCUUAUUUCUUACGUUUUAGAGUUUUUUUGUAUGAAUGUUGAGAUCGUUUUAGAGUUGUUUACACACAAAAAAAAAACAUUAAACAGCUUAGAUUUGAGACACAUAUAUUUGUAUUUUCUUACUCAAUAAAUUUUAUGAAGCUCAUAAAUAAAUGAAUGGACAUACAAAGCCCGCCCAGAGAACAAACCACUCACUCAACCAUUGACUAGGGCAUCUUUUUUUUUUUCCAUCUAUUAGUUUUUAUUAAGGGACCAGACCCAAAAAAGAGAGUCCACAUACAUUAUCCAAAAAAAAAUCAAACACAAAGAGAAAAAAAUGAAAUGGGUCUUGAGCCCAACCCACUAAACCGACCACUCCACCAAUCGCAGCUAAACCAAACCGCUCCACCAAUCGUCACGCGUCCCGCAUGAGCGUAUGGACGCCCACGUGUCACCCGAUCACAACAUCGUGACCCACACGUCGUUUCACCUCCACCACUUCAGCCAUCUCGAGAUUCUACGUUGGAGACCAAAUCGACGGUGCACCGGAACCCAGCGAACCACACCGGCGUCACACCAGGAACACCAUCCUCCGUCAUCUUCUCCGACUUACUAGUCACCACCUGACCAAACAGAACACUCGCCACCGGAAUCUACCGGUUCCUCAAUCACAACCACCGAAAAACCACCUCCAACAACUGUAUUGAAGGUUUAGGAGAUUCGAUGGCAAAAUCACACCGCCCCCAAGAACUUCACAUCACGACAUCAAACUCAAACCAUCACGAAAGCCGGUGAAGAAGAACUGGAGAAGCUUCUUCUUCCCAGAAACAAAGCCCGAUGAACGGGAAACUAGACCGGAAAAGAUCCGGUGGACCAAGAAACAAAGCUUUCUCUCUCCUCUGUGUAAGAUUUUAGAGAGGGAACAGAGCUAAGAGAGAGAAGCUUAAACUACGUAUUUAUUUUAGGCUUAAGUCCGACUAGGGCAUCUAAAUUAAGAGGAUACAUUUUUUUUGUUAGUAUUUAUAAACAAUUAAAAGUUGUAGGGUCUCUUAGCUAAAUAUUAAUUAUUGGGCAUUAUUAGUUAGAAUAACGUUUAUGACUUCUCAACAAUAUUAAUAAAUUUGUUGAAAUUAAAUAUAUUAUUUAUACUUAAAUAAUAAUUUAUAUUUUAAAAUAUAGUUUUUGACAAAAAAAAAUAUAGUUAAAAACUUAGAUAAAAGUUAGCCAUAAAACAGUUUUUCCUUUGUUUCAUUUUAUCAUUUUAAUUCAUGCAUCACUUUUUCCUUUACCCAUACUUUUUCUGUCUUCAUCAUUUUUGUUAUAACAAGGUACGUGACUAGUUUGUUGAUGUCAAUAUUUUAUAGAAACUUGAAAACCGUGCUGGAUUCUUAACGCAUUGACAUAAUUUGUGAUCAUUUAUUUAUGGAACUAGAGAUUUUUCCGAAAAUCAAUACAUGUAAAAAUUCCAAAGUCUAUUGAAGUGUUUGAUGUUUUGAAAGAAAUGGAGGAUUGUUAUCAUUACCCAUAAAUUGUUUAUCGGAUAUUGUUGACCAUUUUUGGUAUCGGUCGCUAUAUUUGAAAGAAUUUUUUCGAAGUUAAAGCUGAUAAAGAAUUAUUUGUGGACUACCAUAUCACAAAAUAUGUUAAAUGAGUUGGCUAUGUUAUCUACCGGUUCCUCAAUCACAACCACCGAAAAACCACCUCCAACAACUGUAUUGAAGGUUUAGGAGAUUCGAUGGCAAAAUCACACCGCCCCCAAGAACUUCACAUCACGACAUCAAACUCAAACCAUCACGAAAGCCGGUGAAGAAGAACUGGAGAAGCUUCUUCUUCCCAGAAACAAAGCCCGAUGAACGGGAAACUAGACCGGAAAAGAUCCGGUGGACCAAGAAACAAAGCUUUCUCUCUCCUCUGUGUAAGAUUUUAGAGAGGGAACAGAGCUAAGAGAGAGAAGCUUAAACUACGUAUUUAUUUUAGGCUUAAGUCCGACUAGGGCAUCUAAAUUAAGAGGAUACAUUUUUUUUGUUAGUAUUUAUAAACAAUUAAAAGUUGUAGGGUCUCUUAGCUAAAUAUUAAUUAUUGGGCAUUAUUAGUUAGAAUAACGUUUAUGACUUCUCAACAAUAUUAAUAAAUUUGUUGAAAUUAAAUAUAUUAUUUAUACUUAAAUAAUAAUUUAUAUUUUAAAAUAUAGUUUUUGACAAAAAAAAAUAUAGUUAAAAACUUAGAUAAAAGUUAGCCAUAAAACAGUUUUUCCUUUGUUUCAUUUUAUCAUUUUAAUUCAUGCAUCACUUUUUCCUUUACCCAUACUUUUUCUGUCUUCAUCAUUUUUGUUAUAACAAGGUACGUGACUAGUUUGUUGAUGUCAAUAUUUUAUAGAAACUUGAAAACCGUGCUGGAUUCUUAACGCAUUGACAUAAUUUGUGAUCAUUUAUUUAUGGAACUAGAGAUUUUUCCGAAAAUCAAUACAUGUAAAAAUUCCAAAGUCUAUUGAAGUGUUUGAUGUUUUGAAAGAAAUGGAGGAUUGUUAUCAUUACCCAUAAAUUGUUUAUCGGAUAUUGUUGACCAUUUUUGGUAUCGGUCGCUAUAUUUGAAAGAAUUUUUUCGAAGUUAAAGCUGAUAAAGAAUUAUUUGUGGACUACCAUAUCACAAAAUAUGUUAAAUGAGUUGGCUAUGUUAUCAAUUGAGACAACUAUGAUUAAAAGAUUUGACUAUAUGAAUUUAAUGGAUGAUAUUCCAAAAAAAAUCUCGAGAUAUGAACUACAUUUCAAUACUAAUUGUUCUAUAUAACUAGUUUUUAUAUAAACAUUUUAUGGAAAUUGUAUUUUAAAUGAUUUUUUUCAUUUUUUAUGAUCUUGAUAAAAUACGUACAAGGACAUAUUUUAAAAUUUAGCUUAGUGCACUAUAAAACAUUAGACUGGCACUGCGGACAUAGUACCUUGUUUCUGAACAAUUUUUUUCUUUAUAUUUAAUCACAUACAUCACAACCACUUAAUUGAAAAUUGUAUCUGCAACUCAUAUUAAAUAGUCUAUACUAUAUCAUUAUUACUUUAUUAGAACAUACAAUUUAUUAUGAACAUUAUUUGGUAAACAAGCUGCGAUAACAGAGUACUCCCUCUCCCUCUGUUUUGAUACGUAAGUAGUUUUAGCAAAAAAUGUUUGUUUCACAGUGUAAGAUGUUUACAUAAUCCAAAGGAUUUUUUACAUUUAUUAUAUGCUGUGUGACCAAUCAAAUAAUUCAUUUUUUUUUAUUAUUGGUUGAAUUUAUGUAUUAAAUGCUAUUUUUUCAAAAAUAAAAAUUUUCUUAAUAUUCACUUUUAACUAAAACUACUUACAAAUAAAAACAGAGGGAGUAUAAAAAAAGUUCUAAAAGUUAUGAUAUGUAUAUACCGAUCUAACGGUGGCGGACCCAGAAAUUAUUUUAAAAUUUUGAAUUCAAAAAUUUGAAUACAAAAAUUAAGGUGUCAUGAUGGGAUCGUGGGUUAAUGGGGGAGGGAAGGGGUCAAAACAUGAAUUUUACCAUAAAUGCCGAUAAAAGUUUUGCUCCUUUUUACACGAAAAAAUAUUUAAUAAGAUUUAAGGGGUGUCUGGUGACAUUUCAUUGUCUUUGAUGGACCCGCCUCUGAUCUAAUAUAUGUGUUCAUUUAACAAGAUAGAAUGAUUUAUACAAAUAUAAUUUUAAGUUUUAAACAUAAUAUUCAUCAUAUUUUGUGUGCCAAACAUUAGAAAAUAAAAUAUGGUCGAUUGGGUUGACAUAUUUUACAUUGAAGACAUAUAUUCAUGAAUAAGAUGGUUGCCAUAUUUUGAUGGAUAAGAUGUGGUAGAGACACCUUUUUACACAUUUCAUUUGAACAUUUUAGAACUGUAUUUUUCAUAUAUGUAAAAGAACAACCUCAAGUAAAAACAAUCCCAAUUAAAUAUAUGCUAGUAAUAUUUUAAAAUUUUAAUCCCAAAUUAAUCUAAAUAUUUUAAAAUUUGUAAUAAAAAAUGAGUAACAAACUUGUAAAAACUAUCAUAAAUCGUCAAGGUUAUUCAUCUCUCAACAAUUACUCUCCGACAAACUAUUACAAUUAUAAUCUCUCGAUGAGUGUUGUAGGCACAGGGGGGUAACCCACGAAUUGAUAAAAAUGGUGGAACCAAGGUUUAAACCUGAAAAAAACAAAGAGAACCGAUUUUUAUGAGUUUAGAGUUUUUAUGAUGCAAACAUAAACAAAUAUGAAAACGAAUGAAAUGAUGAUGAUAAUGAUAAUAAAACAAGAUAAAUAAACAAAGGAUAGGAUGGAAUCAAGCUGCUGGAUGUGUAUCACUCUCAGCUUGAUUAGAUGAUGAACUGAAGUGGAUUUGCGGAGGAAGGUUUGAUUGAAUCUCUCAAUCUGAUGGAAUGAUGGAUCGAAGUGAUUGACUCUCUCAAUCUGUGUACUGAGCUUGUUUGAUUUGCACAAACAAACUAGACUCACGAAAUCAAUAAGACAACAAAGAAUCUCUCUUUGAAUCCUAAAGACCGAUAUUUUAUACAAAGAACAACUUUGAUAAAACUGAAUAAACUUUUUAUUAACUUGGUGAUUAAGGGUGCUCUUUACAAUGGACGUCUAGGAGCUUAUAUAAGGCUCAGAGACAAAGGUCCUAACGUUCUAAAACAAAUAGAAAAGGAAACAAAUCAAGCAAAGUAACAAAAUCGAAAACUAGCCGUUGGAGCCUUUUAUGGGAUUUUGGCUCCAAGUGAGAAACUUGAUUCUUCUUGAACCUGGACGGUUUUAAUGGAUAAGAGAGCUUCCUUGGGACCUUCCUGGGUGCUUGAUAGGUUCUGAUCUCGUGCCUGAUCUGAAGAGAAAAGAGUUGUUGGACAUUAAUGUCGGUUUGCUCCAAAUAAGGCAGGUUUGAGUAAAUGAGGAUCCUCAUGAUCCAAUGGUUGCUGGUGCAUGGUAUGAACUUGCAGAACUCCUCCUGGACUCCUAGAAUAUCUCCUGAUUGGUUGAAAUGAUCUCCUGGUCGCCAAUGUCUGGUUUGAAGCUGAUUGAACCGGUUAGCUUCCAAUUGAGGUAAGUGUAGAACUGGAUUGGCCGGUUUUGAAGAUUGGAUCAUAAAUUCAUAAUUCCGUGGCCAUUUCUCCUGAUCUUGGGCUUUCUGGAAAUCUGAUAAACUCCUCUUGACUCCUAUGAUGGGCUUUGCUUCAGGCCGCUCCUUACUUGAGCUUAAAUCUCCUUCUAAAGUCGGGUACUCGCAGAUGGACGGGCUGGAAAACCUCUGACUUGUAAAAUUCAUAACUUCUUGCUCCGUGAAUAUUUUGGACUGAUUAUAAGUGGGCUGGACUCCUUCUUGAGUGUAGAGUCCACUAAAAUUUAUCUUGUGACUUAAACCCUCCUGGUUUGUAAGAUACAGCAUUUUUAGUGCACAUGUGUUCUGCUUAGCGCCUUGGCUGGUUGAGUAGGGCUUUGGGUUGACCUCCGGUUCAGUUGCUGAUCUGAUGACCACAUCAUCCCCUCCCUCUUGACAAGGUUUCGACUUCGAAACUGUAUAAUCUGCACCAAGAUAGAGCAAGUCAGCUUUCAUUCUCUUUUGAGAUUCUAAAGCCUUACCUUGGUAUUGUUUUGGUUUUGCUUCUUUAAGCAAUAUGGACUGCAUUGUCUCUUGAACAAUCUUCUGGUCCAUCACAAGAGUCACGCCUGGUGGUUCUUCUUCUUUAAAUUCUUGCUCCUUAAGUCCUGUUACAACACCCUUUGACAAAGACAAGUGCAUUAUACAAGAAUAUGGAACCAAUAAAUCAGUUUGAAUAAAACUAUCACUUUUCAUAGAUAAAUCUAUUUUUUCUUCUAGUGAUGUUUCUAUCAAUGCUUGCUUAGUAGGACAAACUACAGCAUAGUGUCCUUUCUUAUGACAUCUAUAACAUGUCUGAUUUUUCAAAUCCUCAGAGUUAGAAGACUUACCUUGGCUUGAUGGCUCUUCUUUAUUUGGGUUUAAAAUCUCCUUGUAUCUUGGACUUAAAUCAUGGACAACUUUUGAUCUCAACAAGGAUGGGGAGAUCGUGUCUUUCUGAACCUCAGGACCUGUCUUAACAUUCUUGGACAAAGACAAGUGACUCAUACCAGUGGGAGAUGAUUUAUAAACAAAUUUAUCAAGUAUAGGACUUACCUUAGCCUUUACUUGGACAAUAAAAGGUUCUGAUUUUUCUUUGGAACCAUGAGUUAGAUACCUCCUUGGGUAUAUCUUUUUGAUCUUAGAACUUGUGAGUUCUGCUGCAAAUUCAUCCCUCAUGACUUCCUUAAGAGCUCUCCACGUUUUGAUAGCUGUCUCCUUGUAAAACCAUCUAUCAUCUUCUUCUUGUACCCACCAUUUAAAGGCAUUACCUUUUAGUUGAUCAAGGGCAUAAGAUAGCCUCUCUUCCUUGAGGAUGUUGUUGUAGUGAAACCAUUCAUCAAGGUUCCUCUCCCAUGUUAGGUAGCUUAUUCCUCCUGAAAAUGUAAAGAGUUCAAUUUUAUCAGCAAAAGAUUUAUGAUCAAACCGAGAAUUAGCAACAUGAUGAGUAUGGGUUUGAGAAGUUGGAUGUUGAUUGAUCCUUGAAGGAUCUGGUGGCUUGGGAUCGACAUAGACAACCUCUGGUGCAUCUCCAAAUCUCCUUUCUCCUUGCUGUGGACGUUGGCCUCAUGCCUUGUUUCUUUUCCUCAACUGAGCAAUCCGAUCAUUGAUCUCUUGUAAAGCUGUCAACUAUUGGUUCUGUUUGGCCAUCUGACAUUGACCGUGUGUUUUUCCUACCAUGGCUUCCUGAAAACACUUUCAAAGAUCAAGUGAAGGAAGGUAUGGGAAGUUCUGGUCGAAUCAAAAUAGGAACCAAAAAUGCAAGCUAAUUAAAACUAAACCGAGAAAAUAUGCUAUGAUGACCCGAAUUGAAAUAAACUAUGCAAAAAUGAUUUUUCUUUUAGUUUUCUUAAUGCAAAUCUCGAAAUGAAACAAUAUUAAAUGACAAUGAACACAAAUGAAAAGAAAAUAUGGAAAGCAAACUAAUGCUGAUAUUUUUUUUUUGAUUUUCUUAAUUAUGCAAGAAUUAACCAACAAUAUGCAAAAAUGAUUUAAACUAAGAUGCAAUAUUUUUAUUUGGUUUUCUUGAUGUAAGAACGAAAUGGACAACUAGAAAUGGUAUGAAAAUACUGAGAAUGAUUUAUUUUGGCUUUUAAGUUUAUGGAUGCAAAUGGAAAGGAAACAAAUUCAAAACAUCAUUUUUUUAUGGGAUAUUUGAGAUUUUUUUUUAUGGAAACUAAUGAAUGCAAACACUUUUUUUUGGGAUUUUCGAUUUUAAAUGAAUCAAAUAAAACUUUUUCUUUUCUUUUUCGUGGCUUUUAAGAGGAUGAACAGAAAGUACACAAAAACAAAUGCAGAAACAAAACUUGAACAAAGAAACAGUUUUUUUGGAUUUUCUGUUUAUGAUAAAAACAAAUGCAAGCAAAUGAAAUAUGAUGCAAGGAUAGAAUGGACCUGGAGAUUUUUUUUUAUGGAAACUAAUGAAUGCAAACACUUUUUUUUGGGAUUUUCGAUUUUAAAUGAAUCAAAUAAAACUUUUUCUUUUCUUUUUCGUGGCUUUUAAGAGGAUGAACAGAAAGUACACAAAAACAAAUGCAGAAACAAAACUUGAACAAAGAAACAGUUUUUUUGGAUUUUCUGUUUAUGAUAAAAACAAAUGCAAGCAAAUGAAAUAUGUAAAGCUGUCAACUAUUGGUUCUGUUUGGCCAUCUGACAUUGACCGUGUGUUUUUCCUACCAUGGCUUCCUGAAAACACUUUCAAAGAUCAAGUGAAGGAAGGUAUGGGAAGUUCUGGUCGAAUCAAAAUAGGAACCAAAAAUGCAAGCUAAUUAAAACUAAACCGAGAAAAUAUGCUAUGAUGACCCGAAUUGAAAUAAACUAUGCAAAAAUGAUUUUUCUUUUGGUUUUCUUAAUGCAAAUCUCGAAAUGAAACAAUAUUAAAUGACAAUGAACACAAAUGAAAAGAUAAUAUGGAAAGCAAACUAAUGCUGAUAUUUUUUUUUUGAUUUUCUUAAUUAUGCAAGAAUUAACCAACAAUAUGCAAAAAUGAUUUAAACUAAGAUGCAAUAUUUUUAUUUGGUUUUCUUGAUGUAAGAACGAAAUGGACAACUAGAAAUGGUAUGAAAAAACUGAGAAUGAUUUAUUUUGGCUUUUAAGUUUAUGGAUGCAAAUGGAAAGGAAACAAAUUCAAAACAUCAUUUUUUUAUGGGAUAUUUGAGAUUUUUUUUUAUGGAAACUAAUGAAUGCAAACACUUUUUUUUGGGAUUUUCGAUUUUAAAUGAAUCAAAUAAAACUUUUUCUUUUCUUUUUCGUGGCUUUUAAGAGGAUGAACAGAAAGUACACAAAAACAAAUGCAGAAACAAAACUUGAACAAAGAAACAGUUUUUUUGGAUUUUCUGUUUAUGAUAAAAACAAAUGCAAGCAAAUGAAAUAUGAUGCAAGGAUAGAAUGGACCUGAUUCAGGAGCUUUGAGCUCUGAUACCAAAAUGUUGUAGGCACAGGAGGGGUAACCCACGAAUUGAUAAAAAUGGUGGAACCAAGGUUUAAACCUGAAAAAAACAAAGAGAACCGAUUUUUAUGAGUUUAGAGUUUUUAUGAUGCAAACAUAAACAAAUAUGAAAACGAAUGAAAUGAUGAUGAUAAUGAUAAUAAAACAAGAUAAAUAAACAAAGUAUAUGAUGGAAUCAAGCUGCUGGAUGUGUAUCACUCUCAGCUUGAUUAGAUGAUGAACUGAAGUGGAUUUGCGGAGGAAGGUUUGAUUGAAUCUCUCAAUCUGAUGGAAUGAUGGAUCGAAGUGAUUGACUCUCUCAAUCUGUGUACUGAGCUUGUUUGAUUUGCACAAACAAACUAGACUCACGAAAUCAAUAAGACAACAAAGAAUCUCUCUUUGAAUCCUAAAGACCGAUAUUUUAUACAAAGAACAACUUUGAUAAAACUGAAUAAACUUUCUAUUAACUUGGUGAUUAAGGGUGCUCUUUACAAUGGACGUCUAGGAGCUUAUAUAAGGCUCAGAGACAAAGGUCCUAACGUUCUAAAACAAAUAGAAAAGGAAACAAAUCAAGCAAAGUAACAAAAUCGAAAAACUAGCCGUUGGAGCCUUUUAUGGGAUUUUGGCUCCAAGUGAGAAACUUGAUUCUUCUUGAACCUGGACGGUUUUAAUGGAUAAGAGAGAUUCCUUAGGACCUUCCUGGGUGCUUUAUAGGUUCUGAUCUCGUUCCUGAUCUGAAGAGAAAAGAGCUGUUGGACAUUAAUGUCGGUUUGCUCCAAAUAAGGCAGGUUUGAGUAAAUGAGGAUCCUCAUGAUCCAAUGGUUGCUGGUGCAUGGUAUGAACUUUCAGAACUCCUCCUGGACUCCUAGAAUAUCUCCUGAUUGGUUGAAAUGAUCUCCUGGUCGCCAAUGUCUGGUUUGAAGCUGAUUGAACCGGUUAGCUUCCAAUUGAGGCAAGUGUAGAACUGGAUUGACCGGUUUUGGAGAUUGGAUCAUAACUUCAUAAUUCCAUGGCCAUUUCUCCUGAUCUUGGGCUUUCUGGAAAGCUGAUAAACUCCUCUUGACUCCUAUGAUGGGAUUUUCUUCAGGCCGCUCCUUACUUGAGCUUAAAUCUCCUUCUAAAGUCGGGUACUCGCAGAUGGACGGGCUGGAAAACUUCUGACUUGUAAAAUUCAUAACUUCUUUCUCCGUGAAUAUUUUGGACUUAUUCCAAAUGGUCUGGACUCCUUCUUGAGUGUAGAGUCCAUUACAAAUUUUCUCGUGACUUAAACCCUCCUGGUUUGUAAGAUACGGCAUUUUUAGUGCACAUGUGUUCUGCUUGGCGCCUUGGCUGGUUGAGUAGGACUUUGGGUUGACCUCUGGUUCAGUUGCUUAUCUGAUGACCACAUCAAUGAGUAUAGGCGAGAGGAGUGAGAUAUUUUCUCUCCUUUCCCUUUACCUCCAUUUCAAACCCUAGCCGCCUCUUUAAGCUUUUGGCUCUGCCUCUCCGCCACCUUUCCGAUGGUGUGAGAGGCAGUGUAUCUCUUUUUUGUCUUUUUCAAAGUUUCAUCUGCGAUUUCUUGGUUAUCUUUUGCGGGCUCUAGAUUUAGAUCCCGUCUGGUUGUUUGAGUUGCGGCGUUCGUGUGGCAUAUGUUUGCAUGGCUCUCAGAUGUUCUGAGGACUUGCUCUGGUGUCUGUGUCUUCCUCCUCUCCUCUGUUUCGUCAAAUAAGUGUUUUGGUGUGCAAGACAUGAAUUUUACCAUAAAUACCGAUAAAAGUUUUGCUCAUUUUGACACGAAAAAAUAUUUAAAAAAAUUUAAGGGGUGUCAGGUGACACUCCAUUGUCCUUGAUGGAUCCGCCUCUGAUCUAAUAUAUGUGUUCAUUUAACAAGAUAGAAUGAUUCAUACAAACAUAAUUUUAAGUUUUAAACAUAAUAUUCAUCAAAUUUUGUGUGCCAAACAUUAGAAAAUAAAAUAUGGCGCAUUGGGUUGACAUAUUUUACAUUGAAGACAUAUAUUCAUGAAUAGGUUACAGUUGCCACAUUUUGAUGGAUAAGAUGUGGUAGAGACACAUUUUUACACAUUUCAUUUGAACGUUUUAGAACUGUAUUUUUCAUAUAUGUAAAAGAACAACCUCAGGCAAAAACAAUCCCAAUUAAAUAUAUGCGAGUAAUAUUUUAAAAUUUUAACCCCAAAUUAAUCUAAAUAUUUUAAAAUUUGUAAUAAAAAUGAGUAACAAACUUGUAAAAACUAUCAUAAAUCAUCAAAGUUAUUCAUCUCCCAACCUUUACUCUCCAACAAACAAUUAUAAUUAUAAUCUCUCGAUGAGUAUAGACGAGAGGAGUGAGAGAUUUUCUCUCCCUUCACCUCUGUUUCAAACCCUAGCCGCCUCUUUAAGCUUUUGGCUCCCCCCCCCCCGCCUCUCCGACACCUUUAUGAUGGUGUGAGAGGCAGUGUAUCUCAUUUAUUGUAUUUUUCAAAGUUUCAUCUGCGAUUUCUUGGUUAUCUUUUACGGGCUCUAGAUUUAGAUCCUGUCUGGUUGUUUGGGUUGGGGCGUUCGUUGGAAUUUGUUUGCAUGGCUCUCUGAUGUUCUGAGGACUUGCUUUGGUGGCUCUGUCUUCCUCCUCUCCUCUGUUUCGUCAAAUAAGUGUUUUGGGGUGCAAGCUUUGAGGUGUGGUUUGUUGGUGACUCUAAAUUCGGGGUGGUGGGGUGGGGGCGUGUAGUCUCACGGUGGAAGUUCGCCAGAUGUGGCCUUCGGGUGGUUGGUUUACUUGGGUAUUGUAGAUCAGCCUCUCAUCCGAGUUUUCUCGGUGUUUUCUCUUCCUUUGAGGGUCUUCUCUUCUACGGCUUCAAUUUAUCUCUCGUGGAGUAAUUUUUAGCCUCUCUCUUUCCUCGCUGUUGGAUUUCAGUUUGCUCUUUGCUUAUAUAUGUUGUGUGGUUUCGUCGGUAGUCUUUUGCGGCGGUCCUAGAGUUUUUUUUUUGUUCUUUUGAUGUUCUUUUCUCAGUAACGGUGGCUUGAAUUGAUUGUAUGUAUCACAUUGGUUCUACGCCAUAUAAGCUUUUUUUGUGGCGGUCUCCUGCGUUUCUCCGGAAACUUUGGCAAGUGGCUAGAAUUUAUGCUAAUGUUUUAAUCUCCCUCUUCUCGAAUUCGGUGUUGGGUAGAGAUUUAUUUUCUUUUGAUGUUUUCAGUUUGGGCCAAAAUGUUGAACCCAUUAAUUGGUUAAUGUUGGAAGGUGUAAUCUCACAAAAAUAUAGAAACACAACCAAAAACUAGGGGGAAUUUAUGAACUAAGCAAAUUCUCAUUAGAAAUAAAGAAAAUAUCAAUAAUUUUUGACAUAAUUAAAUCCAUAAUAACUUUACAAAUUUUAUCCGAUAUUACUCUUUUUUUUCAAAUUGAUGGUGAUAGAAAGAUGAGAAGUGAUGUUGUCUAUAAUUUUACACAUAUGGAUAAGAUAAAAUAUGCACUGUUAAAAGUCAAAUCAUGCAUAUAACAAGACAUCACUUAAUUAAUUACCACAUAUAAAAGGUUCAUUUUUAAACAUGAGACGAGGAACAGUGAUGUAGACGGAAGAACAACGAUGGAGGAUAAUUGAAGAUCUUAUUUUCAUGUAUAAGACAUAGUAUGGACCCUCUACAAAUAGUACCGAAAAGAGGCUCCAUUCCAUUUACAUGCGUAAAUUAAUAAAAUUGAUCAUCAUACAAAAAUAGUAUGGAACUAUAGUUAAUUGAUAGAUAAAUAGUAUAGACUCCAUAAAUAGUAUAGUUUUCACUGGUCCACAAUAUAGUUUUUACUUGUUCAUAGUAUAAUUUGUAUUAUUUAGUAUUAUUUGCAUAUGUAAAUAAAUAAGUUGAGUAUUGGAUGCAAAAUAAUAUGAAAUUGAUAGUGAGUUGAUAAUCAAAUAGUAUAUCAAAUUAAUAAAUUGAAACAUUGUAUCCACACAAAAAUAAAAAUGGAUUAAAAUAUGAUAUAUAUAGUAUAAUAAAAGUUAAUGAAAUUAUCAAAAUGUUAUGAAAAGUAUUAAAUUUGCCUUAAAUCCUAUAUCAUAAACCCUCCCUUCAGCUCGACCUCUUAAAUAUUAAAACUUUAACCAUCAAAUCCUAAACUUAAAUGUAUAAUGUAAUAUAUAUAUUUAUAAUAUUAAAUUAAAAUUAAAAUCUAAAAUAAUAUAUAAUAUUAUGUACUAUUAUAAAUAUGAAUAAUAGAAUAGAGUUACGAACAAAAAAAGUGUUAAAACAUAAAGGAAACAACAAAGACAAUCCAGAGGCAACAUCAAUUAUCAGUGGUGACCAUCUAUAAAGGGAAUCAUCGGUGAUGUAGCAGAGCAUAACAUCGGCGAUGGAAAUUAAGAUGAGGUCGUGUUUUGAUAUCUGAUUGAUGCGACUUCAGGUACAGAGAAAUCGGUCAACGAUCUCAUUAAUCAAGGAAUCUUUAAGACUCAUACAGGAUAGAAGCAAAUAUUUGAGAGGAGAAAAAAAAUAUAAAAGUUUGAAUUUGUAGAUUUGAAGAGUGUUUUGGUAUAUAAGAUACAAAGUAUGUUGCAUAUCAUGACACUGCGCGGUGAAUUAUUAUUUGUUUUAAUGUUAUAUAAUCCCAUUUUCUAAAAAAUAAUAAUUAAUGGAUACAAAGUAUAAAAUAAAAUAUUAUAAUUUAGCCAAAACAAUCUUACCUGAUUUGUUUUGAACUAAGGCAGACAAUCUCCACAUCACUGAUCAUAUUUUUUUUCAGCUCAACCAAAGCUGGUCUAGCCCAGUCAUAGUUAACCACAUAUGAUUUGGGUAUAUUGUAGCCAGAAUUCAACAAUAUUUACCCCUACAGAAAAGUAAAUUCGAAAUUUGAAAUGCUUACCUUCAGAGAAAAUGCUUCAGUUAGACAAAAUACCUAAAACGGAAAAUGUUGGCAUAAAUGCCUAAAGUAUAAUGUUUCAACAUUUUAAACUUAGACAAUUUUCCAACUCCAGAGUCCAGAAUCGUAGUUGUUGAAAAGGUAGAAAGUUUAAACUAGUUUUUGCUUCUGUGUGCAUCGAGAAAAAGUAGGCACUGGCGAGUAUGGUUUCCCAUUAUGCCAAAAGCGCGUGUGAGAAACGCAUGGAAAUGUCAAAGGAGUGUGAGGUUGACAAUAGAUGAGUCUAGAUAUUAUUCAACGCCUUGCUCAAAAAAAAAAACCUUUACUCUCCAACAAACAAUUAUAAUUAUAAUCUCUCGAUGAGUAUAGACGAGAGGAGUGAGAGAUUUUCUCUCCCUUCACCUCUGUUUCAAACCCUAGCCGCCUGCAAAUAGCAUAACAGUUGGGGAACAAAAAACAGAGUUCUUUUUCAAAAAAAAAAAAAAAAAAGAGAUUAUUCAAAGCCUUUGACAAUAUAUAAAGUCAAUGAAAAACAAGAAACUAGAAACCACUUCUGGUUUUAGUCUCCGACGCUAGGUGACAUAGAAAGGAUAAGAGCAUCUAGAUACCCCUCUUGAAGCACAUACUUUCUCUCUUUCUACAAUUAUUCUCUCUAUACAUAACUCUUAUAUACAUGCAAAUUUAUAAAAAUACAUAGUAGAUAAAUUAACAUAUAUACAUGUGAUUCCGAGGGUACAAUUGUUUCAGUGUGUUCAUACAGUCAUAGUUAAUUUGCUUUAUAAACAAGAUAUUUACUAUGUUUAAUCUAGUAUUAUUCUAACCAUACAGCACAUAUAUAUUUUUAAUCAACUGUAAAAUAAAACAUGUUUACACAAAAAAAGAAAUUUGUUUUAGAGGAUUCCCAAUAUAUGUUCGGAUCCAAAGUCAGAUUGCUAGCUAGCUAUAAGCAACUCAUAUUACUCUGUACACUUGUUUCAUGUUCACAUAGUAUUAUUCUAACCAUACAGCACAUAUAUAUUUUUAAUCAACUGUAAAAUAAAACAUGUUUACACAAAAAAAGAAAUUUGUUUUAGAGGAUUCCCAAUAUAUGUUCGGAUCCAAAGUCAGAUUGCUAGCUAGCUAUAAGCAACUCAUAUUACUCUGUACACUUGUUUCAUGUUCACAUGGUAUUAUCUUAUUUAUUUACCACAUAUGUUACUAGUUUCAUGUUUAUUAAUUGUUUUAGUAUGGUUACCAAGUAGGCAAGUACCACCUUCUGUACUACAUACUCUAUAAUUUAUUUUUAACAGGGCAAAUUUCCAAAAUAGCACAUUUCUAAGUUUAUGUCACAAAAAUAGUCCUCAAAAACUAAAAUGACUAAAAUAGCAUUUUAUCUUUUGAAAAUUUUAAUUUUUUUAUUUUUUUAUUUUUCAAAAUUUGAAAUCUUAUCCCAAAACCCAACUCCCCAACUCUAAACCUUAAAACCUAAACCCUAAACCCUAAACUCUAAACCCUAAACUCUAAACCCCACCCCUUAACUCUAAACCCUAAAUCCUAAACUCCACCCCUUAACUUUAAAUCCUAAACCCUAAAUCCCACCCCUAAACUCUAAACCCUAAACCCUAAACUCUAAACCUUAAACCAUAAACCCUAAACCCUAAAUCCUAAACCCCACCCCUUAACUCUAAACCCUAAUGUCUAAAUUAAUUUACUAUUGGGGUAUAAGUGUAUAUUUAUCUCUUUUGAUAAAACAUUAAGUGCUAUUUUAGUUAUUUUUAUUCUUAGAGACUAUAUUUGUGACAAAAACUUUUUUAGUGCUAUUCUGGUCAUUUUCUCAAUUUAAUAUGUUAAGCUAUACUUUUCUAUAAUCACAAUAUAACAUCCGGCCACAAAGAAAGCUAUUGGAAUAUUUUCCAAGUAAUAUUACGUAGGAACUUUAUUGUGUACAUAUCCUUAUGAAUUAAUAAAUUAAUUAAAAGUGAGAUAUAUAAAUGGUUCACAUGUGGAAUCAUUUGCUUUGUCAAAAUAAGAGAACAGAACAAAAUAUGGCAAAUCUCCAAAAUAGCACAUUUCUAAGUUUAUAUCGCAAAAAUAACAUUCGAAAACUAAAAUGAUCAAAAUAACAUUUUAUCUAUUGAAAAAUUUAAUUUUUAUUUAUUUUUUAAAAUUUGAAAUCUUAUCCCAAAACCCCACGCUCCAACUCUAAACCCUAAAACCUAAACUUUGAAACCUAAACCCUAAAUUCUAAACCCUAAACUCUAAACCUUAAACCCUAAAUCCUAAACCCCAUCCUUUAACUCUAAACCCUAAUGUCUAAAUUAAUUUACCAUUAGGGUAUAAAUGUAUAUUUAUCUCUUUUGAUAAAACAUUAAAUACUACUAUUUUGAUCAUUUUUAUUCUUAGAAACUAUAUUUGUGACAAAAAACUUUUUUAGUGCUAUCCUAGUCAUUUUCUCAACAAAAUAGUUGACCAACAAAAAAAGAGAACAGAACAAAAUUGUAAUAUUUGAUCAAAAAAACAAAAUUGUAGUGUUUCACACUGUAUUUAAAUAUUUAAUAAAAAUGUCACCUCCAUUUUUCAACCCAUUUAAUUUUCAUCCUCUCCACUCUCUUUAUAAACACAUCUCUCUCUACGCUUAAAAAAGUCAGCGCUCUCUUUUGUCUCCUUUGCUUUCUCUUCUCUCCACAGAGAUUCUCAGAAGCCUUUGUCUCUCCUGAGAAAUCAAAUCAAUGGCGGACGAUUGGGAUCUACACGCCGUAGUCAGAGGUUGCUCAGCCGUCAGCUCAUCUGCAACCACCGUCUUCUCUGGCGCCGUUUCAUCUCACACGAACCCUAUGUUCACCUACGAAGAACAGAGUAAAGCAGUCUUGUUCAGAGAUAUUCAAGACUUCUACACGCCGUUCACACAAGAAUCAAAUGUAUCCUCGUUUUCUUGUCUGAAUUAUCCAGAAGAACCCAGACAGAGACAAAACCAGAAACGUCCUCUUUCUCUCUCUGCUUCUUCUGGUAGCGUCACUAGCAAACCCACCGGCUCCAAUACCUCUAGAUCUAAAAGAAGGUUCGUUUAUUUUUCUUACCAGUUCAACAAGAACCACUAAAGCUUAAACCUUUUGACGAACCCAUGAAGAAGUUUAUGAAAUUUUGCGUUUUAUUUGUCGAAUCCUCCAAGAAAUUUUGUGUUUUUUUUGUUGGACCCCAUCAACUUAUUUUCGAAUUUAAAUAUGUGUAGAUAGAUGUCUAAAACGUCUCUGUGUUGUGUUGCUUGUUUCAGAAAGAUACAGCAUAAGAAAGUGUGCCAUGUAGCAGCAGAGGCUUUAAACUCCGAUGUUUGGGCAUGGCGAAAGUACGGACAAAAACCCAUCAAAGGUUCACCCUAUCCAAGGUACUAUACAUGAAAAAGAUUAAUUGUUCUUUAAAGACUUAUGAAUGUGUGUAUUCUUUCGAGACAAAACACUUGUCCGUCUUUGUGACUCUGCUUUAAAUGAUCUCUGUUUCUAUUUCUAAUGUACGUCCGUUUAAAACAGAGGAUACUACAGAUGUAGUACAUCAAAAGGAUGUUUAGCCCGUAAACAAGUGGAGCGAAACAGAUCCGACGCGACGAUUUUUAUUGUCACUUACACGGCUGAGCAUAACCACCCAGCUCCUACUCACCGUAAUUCUCUCGCCGGGAGCACUCGUCAGAAAUCAUCUGAUCACCCGACGACCACGAUUGCUACUUAUUCAUCGUCUCCGGUGACGUCAACAGACGAGUUUGUCUUGCCUGCGGAGGAUCUAGCGGUCGGAGAUCUAGACGGAGACGAGGAUUUGUUGUCUUUGUCGGAUACAGUGGUGAGCGAGGAUUUCUUCGAGGGGUUGGAGGAGUUCGCCGGCGGAGAUAGCUUUUCCGGGAAUUCUUCUCCGGCUAGUUUUGAUCUCUCUUGGGUUGUAAACAGUGGCGCCGCAAUUAGCGGCGGAAUAUGAUUCGCGGGGGACUAGACGACGGCUUAGAAUAACUCUUUUAGGAAUAAGAUUAUAGUAUUUUUUUUUUGUUUAAAUUUAAAUUUUGAUUAUAUUAUGUUUAUUUAAUAUAUAAAUAUUAUAAUCUAUUAAAAAAAUAUAAAUAGUAUAAUCUAUGAUUUGUCUGUGAUACGCGUGGAAUAUUUGCCAUUUGUUUAGUGACUUAAACGUAUUUGAAAAUAUUCAUUUUCAACGUUAGUUUGUGGAUGAGAAAUGUCGAUUGGAAUUUAAUAGUGUGUGUUUGUUAUUAUAUACCCUUGAAAUGCUAAUGUAACGUUGCCGUAGGGAGUUUGUGAAGGUUAUUUGUUUCAUCUGAAUGUAAAUGUCUGUGCACCAGCAUUCGAUAUUCUUUUUCGGUUUAGGAAAUUGUUGUAAUUAGAGAGUUUAGAGACUGAAUAUUUCUGUGUUCUUAUUAAUGAACAAGGAUUCCUUAUAUAAGGAUUACAAGAUAAAGAUAAAUGGAAAGAGUACAUAUCAUAAUCCAACAGGAAAUAGGAAAACUACUAAAACAUAGAAAAGGAAAACAUCAUAAGUUCUAAGUCGGCUAGAUCAUUGGUCGACUCUCUCUCCUCCUUGCGGCCGCGGUUGGGCUUGAUGUGGCCGACAGGCUUUCUUCUCUUGUCUUGGUUAAUGGCAAUCCACUCCAUGAUUUAUAACACUCCCCCUUGGAUGCCAUAACCAUACAAGUUUUCUAGUACGCUUCAUGUUGCCUCAUUAAAACCUUAUCAGGAAAACCCAGUGGGACAAAACCAUGAUAAAGGAAAAAGAGUACAACACGCACUACUCCCCCUGAUGUGAACCUCAGUGUAGGUUCUACAUUCUACGCAUCUUGGUGCGUGAUAUUUCUUGUAUGUAUAGGAUGGGAGUAAUCGGCCAGUUUCAUUACUGAACCGUAAUUAGACCACUUCGACUUCUUAGGUCGUUUCUCAUGUCCUUUGACAUCGAGUGUCCCGGUAAAGCAUAUGUGCUAAGCAAUGUGAAUCACAUUGUCCUCGGAGAUCACUAUUGGGUCUUUGCAAAUCGUGUUUGCAUAUGUCCAUAGUCUAGACGUGAUCGUCUACUCUUAACUCUUUACUAUGGUCGGAUAAACCAAGUACUCAUGGACAAUGUACUAAACAUGGUUAUCAUGAACCUAUGUCUCGGUGUAUCUUCUAUACACAGAUGUAUAUCAAUGGCUUUAUAAUUUUACCAUACUAUGGCUUAUUGGCCAGAACAUAUUCAUGAUCCAUACAUAUGGUCAUCGAUCUUUCUUGCUUUAGGCAAUACCAUAUGUAUUUAUCUCGGACAUUGCAGUCCUUUAUCCAUCUCUUGAUGGUGUCUCAUGACCUCUGUUGCUGUGGAUUAUAUCACACACUGAAAUAUAUAUUAUUAGGUCAUAGAUCUCGGCUCUCACAAGCUUAUGGACUACAAUACAUUUGUAUCCGGUUGAUCUUUUGUCUCUACUAGCCCGUGAUCAAGAAGAAGGGCCAGACGCCUUUUAGUCUUAAAAGCCGGACGCGUCUAGUAGAAGAGCCAGACGAGCUAUAAGCAACUCAUAUUACUCUGUACACUUGUUUCAUGUUCACAUAGUAUUAUUCUAACCAUACAGCACAUAUAUAUUUUUAAUCAACUGUAAAAUAAAACAUGUUUACACAAAAAAAGAAAUUUGUUUUAGAGGAUUCCCAAUAUAUGUUCGGAUCCAAAGUCAGAUUGCUAGCUAGCUAUAAGCAACUCAUAUUACUCUGUACACUUGUUUCAUGUUCACAUAGUAUUAUUCUAACCAUACAGCACAUAUAUAUUUUUAAUCAACUGUAAAAUAAAACAUGUUUACACAAAAAAAGAAAUUUGUUUUAGAGGAUUCCCAAUAUAUGUUCGGAUCCAAAGUCAGAUUGCUAGCUAGCUAUAAGCAACUCAUAUUACUCUGUACACUUGUUUCAUGUUCACAUGGUAUUAUCUUAUUUAUUUACCACAUAUGUUACUAGUUUCAUGUUUAUUAAUUGUUUUAGUAUGGUUACCAAGUAGGCAAGUACCACCUUCUGUACUACAUACUCUAUAAUUUAUUUUUAACAGGGCAAAUUUCCAAAAUAGCACAUUUCUAAGUUUAUGUCACAAAAAUAGUCCUCAAAAACUAAAAUGACUAAAAUAGCAUUUUAUCUUUUGAAAAUUUUAAUUUUUUUAUUUUUUUAUUUUUCAAAAUUUGAAAUCUUAUCCCAAAACCCAACUCCCCAACUCUAAACCCUAAAACCUAAACUCUAGACCCUAAACCCUAAACUCUAAACCCUAAACUCUAAACCCCACCCCUUAACUCUAAACCCUAAAUCCUAAACUCCACCCCUUAACUUUAAAUCCUAAACCCUAAAUCCCACCCCUAAACUCUAAACCCUAAACCCUAAACUCUAAACCUUAAACCAUAAACCCUAAACCCUAAAUCCUAAACCCCACCCCUUAACUCUAAACCCUAAUGUCUAAAUUAAUUUACUAUUGGGGUAUAAGUGUAUAUUUAUCUCUUUUGAUAAAACAUUAAGUGCUAUUUUAGUUAUUUUUAUUCUUAGAGACUAUAUUUGUGACAAAAACUUUUUUAGUGCUAUUCUGGUCAUUUUCUCAAUUUAAUAUGUUAAGCUAUACUUUUCUAUAAUCACAAUAUAACAUCCGGCCACAAAGAAAGCUAUUGGAAUAUUUUCCAAGUAAUAUUACGUAGGAACUUUAUUGUGUACAUAUCCUUAUGAAUUAAUAAAUUAAUUAAAAGUGAGAUAUAUAAAUGGUUCACAUGUGGAAUCAUUUGCUUUGUCAAAAUAAGAGAACAGAACAAAAUAUGGCAAAUCUCCAAAAUAGCACAUUUCUAAGUUUAUAUCGCAAAAAUAACAUUCGAAAACUAAAAUGAUCAAAAUAACAUUUUAUCUAUUGAAAAAUUUAAUUUUUAUUUAUUUUUUAAAAUUUGAAAUCUUAUCCCAAAACCCCACGCUCCAACUCUAAACCCUAAAACCUAAACUUUGAAACCUAAACCCUAAAUUCUAAACCCUAAACUCUAAACCUUAAACCCUAAAUCCUAAACCCCAUCCUUUAACUCUAAACCCUAAUGUCUAAAUUAAUUUACCAUUAGGGUAUAAAUGUAUAUUUAUCUCUUUUGAUAAAACAUUAAAUACUACUAUUUUGAUCAUUUUUAUUCUUAGAAACUAUAUUUGUGACAAAAAACUUUUUUAGUGCUAUCCUAGUCAUUUUCUCAACAAAAUAGUUGACCAACAAAAAAAGAGAACAGAACAAAAUUGUAAUAUUUGAUCAAAAAAACAAAAUUGUAGUGUUUCACACUGUAUUUAAAUAUUUAAUAAAAAUGUCACCUCCAUUUUUCAACCCAUUUAAUUUUCAUCCUCUCCACUCUCUUUAUAAACACAUCUCUCUCUACGCUUAAAAAAGUCAGCGCUCUCUUUUGUCUCCUUUGCUUUCUCUUCUCUCCACAGAGAUUCUCAGAAGCCUUUGUCUCUCCUGAGAAAUCAAAUCAAUGGCGGACGAUUGGGAUCUACACGCCGUAGUCAGAGGUUGCUCAGCCGUCAGCUCAUCUGCAACCACCGUCUUCUCUGGCGCCGUUUCAUCUCACACGAACCCUAUGUUCACCUACGAAGAACAGAGUAAAGCAGUCUUGUUCAGAGAUAUUCAAGACUUCUACACGCCGUUCACACAAGAAUCAAAUGUAUCCUCGUUUUCUUGUCUGAAUUAUCCAGAAGAACCCAGACAGAGACAAAACCAGAAACGUCCUCUUUCUCUCUCUGCUUCUUCUGGUAGCGUCACUAGCAAACCCACCGGCUCCAAUACCUCUAGAUCUAAAAGAAGGUUCGUUUAUUUUUCUUACCAGUUCAACAAGAACCACUAAAGCUUAAACCUUUUGACGAACCCAUGAAGAAGUUUAUGAAAUUUUGCGUUUUAUUUGUCGAAUCCUCCAAGAAAUUUUGUGUUUUUUUUGUUGGACCCCAUCAACUUAUUUUCGAAUUUAAAUAUGUGUAGAUAGAUGUCUAAAACGUCUCUGUGUUGUGUUGCUUGUUUCAGAAAGAUACAGCAUAAGAAAGUGUGCCAUGUAGCAGCAGAGGCUUUAAACUCCGAUGUUUGGGCAUGGCGAAAGUACGGACAAAAACCCAUCAAAGGUUCACCCUAUCCAAGGUACUAUACAUGAAAAAGAUUAAUUGUUCUUUAAAGACUUAUGAAUGUGUGUAUUCUUUCGAGACAAAACACUUGUCCGUCUUUGUGACUCUGCUUUAAAUGAUCUCUGUUUCUAUUUCUAAUGUACGUCCGUUUAAAACAGAGGAUACUACAGAUGUAGUACAUCAAAAGGAUGUUUAGCCCGUAAACAAGUGGAGCGAAACAGAUCCGACGCGACGAUUUUUAUUGUCACUUACACGGCUGAGCAUAACCACCCAGCUCCUACUCACCGUAAUUCUCUCGCCGGGAGCACUCGUCAGAAAUCAUCUGAUCACCCGACGACCACGAUUGCUACUUAUUCAUCGUCUCCGGUGACGUCAACAGACGAGUUUGUCUUGCCUGCGGAGGAUCUAGCGGUCGGAGAUCUAGACGGAGACGAGGAUUUGUUGUCUUUGUCGGAUACAGUGGUGAGCGAGGAUUUCUUCGAGGGGUUGGAGGAGUUCGCCGGCGGAGAUAGCUUUUCCGGGAAUUCUUCUCCGGCUAGUUUUGAUCUCUCUUGGGUUGUAAACAGUGGCGCCGCAAUUAGCGGCGGAAUAUGAUUCGCGGGGGACUAGACGACGGCUUAGAAUAACUCUUUUAGGAAUAAGAUUAUAGUAUUUUUUUUUUGUUUAAAUUUAAAUUUUGAUUAUAUUAUGUUUAUUUAAUAUAUAAAUAUUAUAAUCUAUUAAAAAAAUAUAAAUAGUAUAAUCUAUGAUUUGUCUGUGAUACGCGUGGAAUAUUUGCCAUUUGUUUAGUGACUUAAACGUAUUUGAAAAUAUUCAUUUUCAACGUUAGUUUGUGGAUGAGAAAUGUCGAUUGGAAUUUAAUAGUGUGUGUUUGUUAUUAUAUACCCUUGAAAUGCUAAUGUAACGUUGCCGUAGGGAGUUUGUGAAGGUUAUUUGUUUCAUCUGAAUGUAAAUGUCUGUGCACCAGCAUUCGAUAUUCUUUUUCGGUUUAGGAAAUUGUUGUAAUUAGAGAGUUUAGAGACUGAAUAUUUCUGUGUUCUUAUUAAUGAACAAGGAUUCCUUAUAUAAGGAUUACAAGAUAAAGAUAAAUGGAAAGAGUACAUAUCAUAAUCCAACAGGAAAUAGGAAAACUACUAAAACAUAGAAAAGGAAAACAUCAUAAGUUCUAAGUCGGCUAGAUCAUUGGUCGACUCUCUCUCCUCCUUGCGGCCGCGGUUGGGCUUGAUGUGGCCGACAGGCUUUCUUCUCUUGUCUUGGUUAAUGGCAAUCCACUCCAUGAUUUAUAACACUCCCCCUUGGAUGCCAUAACCAUACAAGUUUUCUAGUACGCUUCAUGUUGCCUCAUUAAAACCUUAUCAGGAAAACCCAGUGGGACAAAACCAUGAUAAAGGAAAAAGAGUACAACACGCACUACUCCCCCUGAUGUGAACCUCAGUGUAGGUUCUACAUUCUACGCAUCUUGGUGCGUGAUAUUUCUUGUAUGUAUAGGAUGGGAGUAAUCGGCCAGUUUCAUUACUGAACCGUAAUUAGACCACUUCGACUUCUUAGGUCGUUUCUCAUGUCCUUUGACAUCGAGUGUCCCGGUAAAGCAUAUGUGCUAAGCAAUGUGAAUCACAUUGUCCUCGGAGAUCACUAUUGGGUCUUUGCAAAUCGUGUUUGCAUAUGUGCAUAGUCUAGACGUGAUCGUCUACUCUUAACUCUUUACUAUGGUCGGAUAAACCAAGUACUCAUGGACAAUGUACUAAACAUGGUUAUCAUGAACCUAUGUCUCGGUGUAUCUUCUAUACACAGAUGUAUAUCAAUGGCUUUAUAAUUUUACCAUACUAUGUCUUAUUGGCCAGAACAUAUUCAUGAUCCAUACAUAUGGUCAUCGAUCUUUCUUGCUUUAGGCAAUACCAUAUGUAUUUAUCUCGGACAUUGUAGUCCUUUAUCCAUCUCUUGAUGGUGUCUCAUGACCUCUGUUGCUGUGGAUUAUAUCACACACUGAAAUAUAUAUUAUUAGGUCAUAGAUCUCGGCUCUCACAAGCUUAUGGACUACAAUACAUUUGUAUCCGGUUGAUCUUUUGUCUCUACUAGCCCGUGAUCAAGAAGAAGGGCCAGACGCCUUUUAGUCUUAAAAGUCGGACGCGUCUAGUAGAAGAGCCAGACGUUCUUUGCUGAAGAGCCGGACGCCCUUAGACGGACAGAGUCGGACAUCUUUAGUUUGAAGGGCCGGACCCGGANNNNNNNNNNNNNNNNNNNNNNNNNNNNNNNNNNNNNNNNNNNNNNNNNNNNNNNNNNNNNNNNNNNNNNNNNNNNNNNNNNNNNNNNNNNNNNNNNNNNNNNNNNNNNNNNNNNNNNNNNNNNNNNNNNNNNNNNNNNNNNNNNNNNNNNNNNNNNNNNNNNNNNNNNNNNNNNNNNNNNNNNNNNNNNNNNNNNNNNNNNNNNNNNNNNNNNNNNNNNNNNNNNNNNNNNNNNNNNNNNNNNNNNNNNNNNNNNNNNNNNNNNNNNNNNNNNNNNNNNNNNNNNNNNNNNNNNNNNNNNNNNNNNNNNNNNNNNNNNNNNNNNNNNNNNNNNNNNNNNNNNNNNNNNNNNNNNNNNNNNNNNNNNNNNNNNNNNNNNNNNNNNNNNNNNNNNNNNNNNNNNNNNNNNNNNNNNNNNNNNNNNNNNNNNNNNNNNNNNNNNNNNNNNNNNNNNNNNNNNNNNNNNNNNNNNNNNNNNNNNNNNNNNNNNNNNNNNNNNNNNNNNNNNNNNNNNNNNNNNNNNNNNNNNNNNNNNNNNNNNNNNNNNNNNNNNNNNNNNNNNNNNNNNNNNNNNNNNNNNNNNNNNNNNNNNNNNNNNNNNNNNNNNNNNNNNNNNNNNNNNNNNNNNNNNNNNNNNNNNNNNNNNNNNNNNNNNNNNNNNNNNNNNNNNNNNNNNNNNNNNNNNNNNNNNNNNNNNNNNNNNNNNNNNNNNNNNNNNNNNNNNNNNNNNNNNNNNNNNNNNNNNNNNNNNNNNNNNNNNNNNNNNNNNNNNNNNNNNNNNNNNNNNNNNNNNNNNNNNNNNNNNNNNNNNNNNNNNNNNNNGUACACGAACUUGUAGUAUUGAUCAUGGGUUUAUCCUCUCUCCCCCUCAUGACCAUACUAUAAGGUCGUGGUGCUUGGGACAAUUAAGCCUAAUGAGUUUCCCUUUUGUGUACAUGUUUCACAACGUGAGUUCUUUUACGGGAUAACUCUGUGCCUUUUCAAUCUUUGCAUCGAGUUUAGACUUUAGGAUGGCUAAUCCUAUCAUGCCAUAUAGUGUAAAAUUUUGUGGUGUAUCUCAAUAUGGUCACCACGGUUCUUGCCUCUCAUCAUACUGAUCUUAUAGCAUAGUUUAAAUCAGUUGAGAUCAUUAGGUAUAGUCUCGACCACUUUCUUAUAAGGUCUUAGGCGAUUUUUCUUUCAAAAUCUGAAGGAACUUGUUUCCUUUUGUUUGCCCAUUGUUUCUAUUUAGAAACCAUAUUAUCAUAACUCAAUGGGUCACAUAUUAUUGGGUGUAUCUAAUGUCCUUUAGACAAUGCCUUAGCCAUAGUUUCUUUACUAGGCUCACUAUACUACUUUCACGAUUUCUUACUUGGAUAUUAUGCCCUUUAGGCAAUUCUUUAUCAGUAAAAACAUUCAUAUGUUCAAGUAAGAUCAGGCAAGAUAUAAUGAAAUCAAAGCAAACUCUUUUAUAUAUAUAUAAAAAUCGUGAAUCAUCAAGUAGGUUAAAAGAAAAUCAUAAAGCAAUAAGACAAGUCGUAUCGAAAAUUUAGUCCUUGAGACAAUCAAAAGUCUCAAAGUUCAUCUGGUCAUUUUUAGCAAUGUCAGAAUCAUUAUCGGCCUCAUAUCCGGAAUCGUGAACCAUGUGAGCCUCAGGGUUCUUGUUCUUAAGACUUUCUUGGUAGAGCUCACAUAAGUGCUUAGGGGUUCUACAGUUCUUGGCCCAAUGGUUUCCCAUUCCACAUCUGUGACAAACGGAUUUGGUCGAGUAAGACGGUUUGGAUAUGCCGCCUCGACCACGGCCAUAACUACCUCGGCCACGGCCAUAAUUGGAACCACGACCACGGUUAUUGUGGUUUCCUUUCCGGCCGGCCAAGUACCUAUCUCGACCGUUCGAGUAAUUGUCACAGUUCCUGUAUCCACCACGGCCUUUGCCGUGUGAUCUCCUAUCAUUCUGGAUGUAAUUGCACUCGUUGGGGUUUUUCUUUUCAACUUCAUUGGCCUCUGGUAAUGGGGCAGAUCCGACAGGUCUAGCUUCACUGUUCUUCAUCAGGAGAUCAUUGUUUGCCUCGGCCAGUAGCAGGCACGAGAUCAGAUUAGUGUAUGUGGCAAAGCCUUUCAUUCGGUACUGCUGCUGCAGGAUUAUGUUUGAGGAAUGAAACGUAGAGAAUGUUUUCUCGAGUAACUCUUCUUCGGUUACUACUUCACCACAAAGUCUCAGCAUCUCCUUAAUCAAUCCUAGGGUUUCUGAUUUAAACACUAGUAGGAUUCGGUUUUAAGAUUAAGGUUUCAAGGCCUUUUAAGAUUUAAAACGAGAUUUAGAGUUUUAAACAUUUAAACUUUCAAACAAUGCCUCACGGCCAAGGUAUAUGCCUUACGGCCAAGUAGGAGCCACACAGCUAUUUUGUUCAAUUCAAUGUCAUCCUUAGAGUAAUAUCUAGGUUCAAUUGCAAUCAAUCAGGUAUGAUCAAAUUCGAUUAUGAAAGCAAUAAGGCCACACGGCCAUGAGAUGAUAUAAUCAAGAUCUUUAUCAAGUUUAAUUAGGAUUUUUAGUUUAAACAUGUCAAGCAAUACAGAUUCGAGUUUAAACAAUCCUAUCAAUAUCUCUAGGUGAUCAAACAAACAAUCAAAUUUCAAAUCAAACAAUUUUAAAAUCGUUUUUCCAAAUUAGGGUUUCAGGGGAUUUCGAAAACUUUGAUCUUUGAUCAAGGGAGUUUGAUUUGAGAUUCAAAAUCAUUAAGACUUUGAUUUUAAUUGAUCAAUGGAUCAAUCUCGAAUUAUGGUUUAGGGGAUCGGACUUAUUCGAGCUCCGAUUUACUCUUUCAGGGUUUGAUCUAUUUGUCUUAAGGCUUUCAUCUUAGAGAUUAGUUUUUAGGGUUUCAAUCUUUACAAACAAUCAGGUUCGAUUCAUGUUCUCAGAAUUUAGGAUUACCUUUGUUUUGCAGGUUGUAGAAACCGGACCUCCAAGAUGAAUGGAUGAACCUCGGACGCGAGCUGCGACGCGGACGCGAGCUGUCUUCUACCUAUCGGGUCUCGAGUUGGUUGAUUGGGAACUCAAGCUAACCGUGAUACAAACUGGAAUCUGAGGUCGUCUAGGAUCAGGAACACCUUAGGGCUGGAGGUGAUCGGAUGCUGAUGAGCUGGAACGCAAGCAAGAACAAUUUAGGGUUCUUCGGGGUUAGGGUUCCAAAAGACCAAGGCGGCGCCGUGUAUUGUUUCUGCGAGCGUGGGCGCGUCUGAGAUCGGAUCGACGAACGGUUUGCGCUGAUGGAUUUUUCUCGUCAAGAGCUUCAAUUUGAUAUGUGGCGCGUCGUCUGGUUCCUCAGGGUUGGAGAGAUCGAUCGAUUUUAAGUUGCGCCUGGAUUAGGGUUUAUGUGUGAAGGAUUUUAGGUUAGGUUUUGUCUCAGGGUUUUGGAGUCUAUCGUGCUGAUAACGUGUUGUAAUUAGAGAGUUUAGAGACUGAAUAUUUCUGUGUUCUUAUUAAUAAACAAGGGUUUCUUAUAUAAGGAUUACAAGAUAAAGAUAAAUGGAAAGAGUACAUAUCCUAAUCCAACAGGAAAUAAGAAAACUACUAAAACAUAGAAAAGGAAAACAUCAUAAGUUCUAAGUCGGCUAGAUCAUUGGCCGACUCUCUCUCCUCCUUGCGGCCGCGGUUGGGCUUGAUGUGGCGACAGACUUUCUUCUCUUAUCUUGGUUAAUGGCAAUCCACUCCAUGAUUUAUAAUAGAAAUUAAUUUUUCUAGAUAAGCAUGUAUUCCUAGAGAAAAAAAAAUCGGGUUUUAAGACUGCUAUAAAUAUGGGUAUAAGAGUUCGUAAGAUUAUACAUUCACAUAAUAAUAAAAAAUUUUAAACCGGUAUUUGCUUCAAUUCGUUUUUCUUUUUCUUUUGCUUUCUUGGAAGAUGAUUCGCGUUUGUUCACAACUUUAUUGAAAUGAUUUAUUGGAUGAUUGUCAGUUAAUGCUUCUGUUUGCAUCAUACGUUGGGAAUAGUCAAUAUUUUAACUAUUUGUUGCAGAUCGUGGAAAUUGGUGUACAAAUUCUUUAGGUAUGGAACAAUCGAGUGGAUAUCGAGCAUUAGUACUUGUAAGGCGUGUGGGCUGUUGUUUUGUUUGCGGUGGUAUAGUAACUCUUCUCAGAAACCAUCGUCCAACUCUCUCUCGACUACCAUGUCCUUUUUUUUUUUUUUUUUUUUUUUUAUACAGAGGUAUCUUGUUCCUAGUGAUGUCGAAAUAUUAAUUUCCCAGUGGUCGGGAUUCGAACUCAAGUGGCAGUACUCACAGCUGUAAGCUCUUUACCACUAGACCUAGAAGCCCCGGUUUACCAUGUCCUCUCCUCUUCUUCCUUGACAUUCUUCUGCUUUCCAUAUCCUUGCAUCUCUAGAGCCAGAACGAACCUCUUCCCCUCUCCGUUGCCUCAUCCUCAAGCUCCUUAACCCUCGUAUCUCUCUGCUUCAGUAGCUGAUACAGAAACGAAGGGCUCUGCAUCGCUCUAGCCAAGAACGACAUCAUCUUCCUCUGUUUCUUCUCUGCUCCUUCAAUCCUCUGUUCCAUUGCUUUGAUGUAGCGGCUCCUGUUUUUCAAAGUAAUUGUGAAGAUAUGCAAGUGUUUCGACAUUGUCGGUAGCGCAUCAGAGGAUCGGAUGACAAAGCGUUGAAGAUGAAGAUAAUAAUUCUAGGAUCCACUUAGCACGUACUUAACAAAUCCUAUUAGGCCCAAAUCUUUUAUUAAAAGCCCACUUGACAUAACCUCUAAACACACCUGAUUAAUUGAUUUGUACGAAAGCCCGUUACACGUGUCGGCCUGUCAGAGAGUGAGGUUUCACGUGGAUAACUUAGGAGUGAGACCAACAUUUUUUUAUAUAUAUAGAUUCUCGGACUAUAUGUAAAAAUAGGAAAAAUGUUCUUUGUUAUUUUGUCAAUUUUUCCUAAAUAUUUUAGAAAAUUGUAUAUUCUUUUUUUUUUUUAAAGUGGAUAUUCGUAAAACGUAAAAUCAUUUUAUUGAGGCGAAAAAGAUUAUGUCAUAUUCCUUAAACUAUUUAAAUGUAAAAUUUGACUAAGAUUUAAGUUUUGAUUUACAUUAACUAUCCUCAAUAGAUUUAUUUAACUGUAAUUGACUAGGAUAGAUAUAAUUUUUUUACUAAGAAAACCCAAAAGUCAAUUAUUAUUUGAAGUGUAAUAAAAUAUUUAAUUUACUCCAUUUUAAGUGCUAUUUUGGGGUUUAAAAAGUAUAAUAAAGAAAUAGAGAUUAGAAACCAAUAACUUCGACAAAAAACAAAAACCAAUUUAGCGGUUAGUACCUGUAUAUUUGCAGUUUUAUUAAGUUAACCUUACCAUUAUGUUUUCCUCAAAUGGUUAUUAUAUUACUCAAAAUUGAGAUGAUCUGGAAAAUUAGAUCGGAACAAAACAACACAUGUAGUACAUGUUCGUAAGAAAAGAUCUUGCUAUCUUAUGAAUCAGACGAUACAUUUUCAGUACGAGGAAUAGAGCAAUGGAGAACUCUGUGAAUCUACUUUUCAGUUUCAUCAGCUCUUUCAGUUCAGUUCUGUUGAAAAUUUCGGUCAUGCUCCCGAAUCUUGAAUCAUUGAAACUAAGUUGUUACAAUCGGUGCCAAAAACCUGGCACGUCGAUAACUGUAGCAUGUACUCAAUUGCCUGUGAAAGGGCCUUAAGCUCCGAGUGAAGUGGUGAGAUUCUUCUUCAUUGGUUCCUUCCUCCCAUUAACUGAAUUCCUCCUCUUGAAUUUAUCUGUGUCCAUCCAUAACCACUGAAAAGUGCGUCGGGAGACCAUGAUCCAUCUAUCAUACAUCUUUCAGAGAUUCAUACAUGUUCAUGAUGUUGCAUUUCCGCUGGUACUUCUUGUUUUUGAUUAGAUUCAAACCAAGCAUGACACUCUGAUUCAGUGUGUCAGACAGUUUCCAAUUGGUCGAUGUCUAUCCCUCUGAAUAAAUGAUCAUUUCUCGCUUUCCAAAUGUGCCAAAUAAUCCAAGGGUGUGAAUCUCUAUCCAAUUUAGAAUCUUCAAUAUCAUUUUUCGAUAUAAUAAAUAGUUUAUAUUUGUGAAUUGGCUUGCACUCGGAAAUACCAAUUGUGGGUUGGGGUACCUGCUAAAGCCCAUGUUUGUAAAGCUGGCAUGCAUUCAAAGAUGACAUGGUGUAUAUUUUCUUCAUCUGCUCCACAUCUAGGACAAUGAUUGUCGCAUCGCGUAUGACGAUGACUUAGGUUGCUUGUCAUUACUUCUUGUCCCGAGAUCAUUUGCCAAAUAGAAUGUCUGAUUUUCGGUUAAGCUUUUAUCUUCCAACCAAAGGUUUGGAGCUUUGUGAUACUAGUAUCUAGCUGUGUCUCUCCAUGAUUUCCCUGUUAAGCAGGUUUGUUGCUACUCAGUAUCCAGAUUUAACAGUGUACAUACCAUUCUUUGUAUAGCUCUAGCAAUAUUCAUCUCGCUGAUGUCCUUGAUUUAUGGCCAAAGACUGGAUCAAAGGGGUAUCCUCCGGAUUGACGUAAUUUUCUAAGAGCUCGGAGUUCCAUCUUUUAGGGCUCCCUAUUAAUAGCUUACUUACUGGCAUCAUUGGAUGAAUCACAGGUGCAAUAGACAUAGCUGGUCUUGCCGGUAUCGUUGGAAUCCAAAAGACUUCCCAAAUUCUAAUCUCAUGUCGAGAAUGUACUUUUUGUCUAAUUCCUAAUGAUACUAAUGGAUUUGUUGCCCUUAUGCUCGUCCAUCCAUAUGAGGGAUUGUCUGUCUUGUUUAGUCGCAAAUGCAAACUACAUCUGAAGUAUUUUCCCCUCAAGACUCUUGCUAAUAAGGAAUCAGGGAACUGCAUUAGUCGCCACAAUUGCUUGCCUAGUAGGGCAAGAUUGAAUUCAUGGAUCAUCUUGAAUCCUAUUCAUCCCUCUUCCCUCGACCUACAAAACUUUUUCUGUUUUGUCCAAUGAAUACCUCUUUAGGUGGAUUUAAACUUCACCAAAACUGUGUAAUGGCACUAGUUAGAUUCUCACAAGUCUCAAGCGGUAGUAGAAGAGUUGACAUUAUGUAUGUAGGUAGAGCUAGUAGUAUAGAAUUUAUCAGCACUUCCUUUCCUCUCCUCGAUAACCACCGACCUGUCCAACCAUGAACUCGAUUUUGUAAUUGUUCUUUAAGGAAUGCAAAUAACUACUCGUUUGAGCCACUGAUGUCCUCUGGGAUUCCAAGAUAAGAUCCCAUCCCUCCUUCAUUUGUAAUUCCAGUUGAGGCUUUAACUUCUUCCUUCACAUGUCUAGAUAUCUUCUUACCAAAGAGUAAAAAUUAUUUUUCAAAGUUAAUACACUGGCCAGAGGCUUUCCCAUAUGUCUCAAGAGCUUUCAUGGCUUCAUCACAUUCACGGGGAUCCGCCUUACAGAAGAACAAACUAUUAUCAGCAACAAGAAGGUAUGAUACCGGGUGGUGGUGGUGGGUUAAGAAAAUCGAUAUUGUUUUGAUGAAUCUGUUAACUUAGCUUAGAUCAAUCAAAACACGUAAUUAACAAUAUUAUGCUCAAGUAAACCUGAUUUAAAACCUAAGAAUCAAGCUUCCAAAUUAGUUUUACGCUCUGAUAUAAGAGAUCAAAUCAGAAUAUUUUCAUAUGAAUCAUAAGACUUUCGUGAGACUCAAAUUUCAGUUUUUCAAUUCAUAUAUCUAUAACCAAAAAGAAACAUGAAAUGAAAUUGAAAGAUCAGCCAGUGAGAUAACUUACCAUGUUCGCAAGCCAGUGAGAGAACUAACCAUGUUCGCAAGAAUCUCAAGAGACGGCAAAUAUAGCAGCGACGAAAACAAUUAAGCGGUGGGGGGUCUUGCCGGUUGAUUUCACGGUUUUGUUUGCCCUUGAAUAAUGUGAUUAUCUGGUUUUGGUGAAUUCAGCAUAAAGAUGAGGGAUUCGAAACAGCUGUGUGCCUUUUGAUUGCUUCGACUUGGAGAUUUAUAGUCGGAGCUUUUGUCAGCUAACAAGGGAGAUGAUGAGAUCAAUUGAAUGCUUCAGAGUGGGAAGAGUGGGUUAAUGACGUAAAAGUUCCAGUUUACGUAUUAACGAGAGCUGAAGACGUUACAGUGAUUAAGUUCUCUGGAAUUUACGGCUGCUAAACUAAGAAGAUCGAAAGAGAGAAGACAAUGAAACCUAAUAUUUUUUGGGCUUGCAUUUUUUUCUUAAAGUCCAUACGCAAGUGAAAAGCAUUUUCGCUGGAUCUUCUUUUCUUAAUGACACGUAUCCAAAAACGCUCUAUUCUAUGUGGUGACGUGGACACAGAAGAAGGGAGAGAAGUCUCUUUUUGUUAUUAUAGAUUAGGGUGUACAUAAUUACAAACUCUGUUGAAGUCGUAAUUAACUGCGCCAGCUUUAAUAUAACAUGUAUUAAAUUAUUUAUAUUUUAAUAGACCAUAUUUUUAUUUUAAUUACAGACAUUAAUUUAAAAUCCCCAAAGUGAUUUGUAGGGUUGAACUGUCGUGAAAGUUCGUGAAAUAAAAGUCAAAAGAAAAAACCAAACAUUGAGAAAGAGAACUUUGGACGAAGUAACUCGUAACUUAGUUGCAAAAACAUGCAGACGAAGAAAGGGACGAAGAAGAAUCUGAUCCUGAAUUUGGCUUACAAGACGUCCAAUAUCCAGAUACACCGUUAAGUUCAGAUGAAGAGUGGGAGCAAUGGAAAAAUCCUAAAAGAGAAAAAGAAAAAGAAAAAUUUCACGGAGAUUUUGACAAAGAGCCGUACAUUUGGUUGUUUCAGAAAUUCAAUAGUGGAUUAGAGUUAAGGAUCAGCUACUACGCUACUCAUUGAAUACUCAAUAUGAUGUUAAAAUGGCAAAAAUCAGAAGCAACAAGGAUAGCUUCUAUAUGUUGCAAGAGUGACUGCCCUUGGAGAAUAUAUUGUUCGGUUGAGCGGCCAUUGAACAAGUGGAUGGUGAAAGUUUGUCACAACAAGCAUAACCAUGGAAAAUCAAGUCGAGUAUCAAUGCUGAAGCAAGGUGUGAUUGCGGGUCUGUUUAGAGAAGAAAUCAGAAGAAAUGUUAAUUUGCAGGCUGCAGAGAUAAAAGACAUGAUAAAAGAACGUUAUAACAUCGUUGUCAAUAUUUCAAAGUGUUACAAAGCCAGAUGAAUUGCUUUGGACACAGUCCUUGAAGCUCAAACCAUUCAGUUUGGUAAGCUAUGGGAUUAUGAGGCUGAGCUUAAACGAUCAAACAAAGAUAUCACUACAGAGAUUUGUACUGCUGAUGUCAAUGGUGUACAACAGUUUGUUUGUUUCUACAUUUGUUUUGAAGAAUUUCGGACGACUUGGAAGAAAUGUUGUAGACCAGUAAUUGGCCUUGAUGGAUGCUUUUUAAAGUGGGAUUUGGAAGGUGAUUUGCUUGCAGCUGUCGGUAGAGAUGCAGAUAACAAGAUGUAUCCCAUUGCGUGGGCUGUUGUUAAACGUGAAAACAAGGAUACUUGGGGCUGGUUUGUGAAAAAACUCAAACUAGAUCUCAACUUAGGAAUCGGCAGUAAUCUUACUAUCAUUUCUGAUAAGCAAAAGGUAAUUUAUUAUGUGCUUAAUUUCCAUGGUAGUAUCAAUGCUAAUUAUAUAAUCUGAACUUUGAGUUUGAUGAUAACAUAUUUGUUUUUCAGGGUAUUAUCCAUGCCAUAGCUGCUGAGCUUCCAAAAGCAGAACAUCGUAUGUGUGCAAGACAUAUAUACGGCAAUUGGAAAAAAUAUUUUUCCCGGUCAGAAUAUAAAAAUCUGUUUUGGGGUGUGGCGUACAGCUAUCAUGAAGGGGAAUCUAUAUAUAUAUAAAAUUGUUUGCCUCACUCCUAGGUUAUCCAGCUGGAAACUCGAACUCUGAGGGGCUGACACGUGUCCGACUUCUUCCAAACGCGCCGUAUCACUUAAGUUUUAAUACUUCGUGUUGGGCUUGAGUUUCCUUAUUGGUAUUGGGCUUCGGUUUUGUUGAGAGAAAGAGAUUGAACCCUAAUUCCUGUGUCCGAAGGUCAGGAAGGGAUAAGGAAAAAAUGGCACGUGUCUUCUCUGUAACCAUCUAAAACUCUUUUCUAUUCACUUCUUUCAACCAUAUCGAUCUCUUUUCUUUCUCUGAAACCGUAGACGACCGAGCUUCCAUGCAUUCACGAUAAGCCAUCAACUCAAGCUUUAAAUCAGGUCUCAUAAACUCUUUUCUCCUCAUUUAUCAUCUGCAAAAAAAUUUAUAUACAGUGAGCCUUUGAUUUGCUUCAGAUCUGAGAAGGCUGUCGGCCCCAAUAUCAACUCCUAUACCGCUUAAGAAUCGUUUGAUUGGAAGAGGCAGUAUUUAAGGUCUGGCUAGAUCGAAGAUUGAUUUUUAGGGUUUUGCUUUCAUCAUACUCUGAUUAUUUUAUGAAAUCUGAUGCAGGCUCUUCAAAAAGAAACAAACUUCAAUACUUCAAGCGAUUCGCUUUUUGAGGUUUUGUUCUUAACCUUCUUCUCCGACAAUUUUAUGAAAAUCUGAUGUUAUAACUUAUAAUGCUUUUAGGGUAGAUGGGAAAUUAACGGCAAAGAAUUUGACUUAGAAUGUUGAACAAGUUCAAACAUUCCAAGGCAGAACAAACCACUUUGGCCUCUAAACUACCUUCUUCCCAACUUAAUUAUCCACAGCAACACAAUCGCAGGAAAAGUAAGCAUCAAAUAGAGAGAAAAUUAGACACAUUACAAUCGAAUUUUUAUAGGUGAUCGAUUACUUAUUAACUGGGUUUGAUUGUUGUAGGACAUGUUCUUUCACAUGUUAAUUGUUUUCUGGAUUGGUAAGGUCAAAUAUGAUUUGGUUUCCUUAAGUUUCUGAUGGAAAAUCCAAGGAGGUUGUUGAUAGCAGCUUCCGAUAGACUGAUAUUCAUAUAUAAUUAUUGACAGAAGGUACUUGCAAAAAGAGUGGUGUUGGCAAGCCGAUGAAACUUUUGGAUUAAAUUAGUGCAUUGUUGAGGUAUCAAGAUUUUUUCAAGUUAAGUUUUGCCCACAACCUUUACAAUUUCCCAGAUUUGUUAUUGUUUUUCUUUAUUGUUGUCAAGCGUAUGUUGCUAUUCAAGAAAGAAAGAGUGUUAUGGAGUGUUCUUUCUCACCUAUGAUCUUAAAGCUGUAUCUAUCUCUCAAGUCUCAAACCAUCUGCGUCAUAUGGAGGUAAAAAUUGUUUUUUUUUUGGAGUGAUAUCUAAAUGUGUGUGUUUGCAGGAAGAGGAGACAAUUUCAUGGAAGAACAUCAAUGUUUUGUGCUCGUGCUGUGAUAUGUUUCUACUGUCUUGGUUACUUUAGAAGAUCGUCUGAGAAUCAUAGGAGGGCACUUGAAUCUCGCAGCUGAAGAAAAAGCUCCCAAGAGAAGUAAGCCACCAGAACGACUCAUGUCUUAGACGUGUUAUCCAGCUGUAGGUGUUGACGAAAGUGUGGCAUGGUGUUACCAGUCCUUCCUUUGUUCAUGCAGAUGCAGGAGUGGUCUGAUCCACUAAUAAAAAUGGACGCGGUGGGCCACUAAUGGAUCUGGUCGAUGAUUUGAAUCCAGGAACAUAAUGUAUAGUUGUAAUUUUAAGAAUUAGAAAUGCAUAAUAUAAUUGUAUUUUUUUGUAUUAUAAUUGUAAGCCUUACUUCUAAAAAGAAUGACAAAUCCUUCCUAUUGAAAAUAGAAAUUACUUUCCAAUCAAAGUAAACUAAUCAUUUUGAAAUACUCAAUAAAAUUGAUAAAUUGAUAAUAUAUUAUGCCAAACCCUAGUCACUCUAUAUUUAAUAGGUAAUGUCUUUAUGAUUAACAAGUUUCGAAGAAAAGCGUUUAGUUUCAUUAAAUGCCAAACAUGGGCACAUGAUAUAUUUUGGGUGAAGUAUGGGAGAAACAAUUCCCAUCGUGCUGAUUUCACCUUCGACGAGUUGUUUUUAGUAUGGAAUGAGCCUUGGACUGUUAUUCAGGCCCGCAUAUAUAAGUACAACACUGAUGAUUAAUCAUUCUGUGUAGUGUAUUAUACAUUGCACUGCACUAAAAUAGUGAGAGUGGUAGUGGAUGAGAGAGACGCUCGAAUCUUGAAGGAUGGUCGGUCCAGUAACAAUUCGCAUCUUAUUCACUGCGUUAAUCCUCACCCUAUAUUUUUUGGCAAUGAUAAAACUAGAUAACAUAUGUUUUCGAUUUAUGUAUAGGAAUAUACUCUUUUAUUUAAAAAUCUAAUCACUAAAUCAAAAUUUAAAUUCGUAUUCAUAUUUGUGUAUUUAUAAGCUUUCAACAUCUGUUUCUUCAAGCAGAACGUAUAAAAGUGAUAAUAGUUUUGGGUGAAUCUCCUGUAAUAGAGAAUUUUGAACUAGUUGUUAAUUAAUAUUAUCUUGAUAAGCUGAUUCAAGUGGCUGUGAUCCACAUGAAUCGGCUUUCUCAUUACUUGCUUCUAAGUUCUCCCUUUUAGUUUAUUAAUUUCCUCCUUAGAUCCUGCAACUUUUCUAGGGUUUUGGCCUUCUACCGUCGUCGGAUUUCAUACAAACUUCACAAGUCUCCAUGUGCAUUUAAAGCUUGUGGUUUAAGUAUGUUGACAUUAUAUAAUCUCCCAAGGAUUAAAUUAAGCUAAUUCCACUAAUCCCUAGGUAAACGUCAAGAUAACAUAAAGAUGAAGUUAAAGUCCAUACCUCUGCAACCAGAUUUGAGUUUAUAAUCUUGUAAUGUUGUUCAAGAACCAGUUUUGGGGUUUGUGUUGAUAUUGUGUGUUGUACAGAGUUUGAAGGAUGGUGAAGGCGAAUGUAUUAUCGAAAAUUAGAGGUUUCAGUGGCGUCAACAGACCCAUCUAUGUCUUGGCUGGUUUGGCAUUUCUCAUCUCAGUAGCUACUCUGGCUAAGUUCAACUACAUCACACCGCUAAGGUUCUCUGGUCGGUUCUGUAAUAAUCAUGGAAGCUUUGACGGCGACAACUAUAUCCUCGGAAGCCAAAUGAGAAAGACGAUAGAAUCCGCCAUCUUCAAAAUCCACCAAGAAAUGGAUGAUCUCAAGGUCUUAGAAGCUAAUUCUUCUGCUCCACCAUCUGAUUCAUCAGCUUCAGGAUCCAUGUUUAGGCAUGUAGCUUUCCUUGCUGAUGUUCUUUCACUGAUUCAGUCAGUUCAUAUGGAGUUGCCUUCCUUCGAAGAAGUGGAUCAUCCGUUGAAGCAGAGGAACGGUGACCCUGGCGAGCAUUUCAUGAGGGAAGAGAUCAAGAAGUACAUAAAGAUCAAACCGAACCGGUUUGGAAAGCAGAACUUCAUGGGAGCUAAUGGAACGUUCACUUCGAUAGGGCACGCUUGCUUUGCCAUGAAGAAAGAUGUAGAAGAGUAUAUGGACUAUGACGUGGGGGAGAUCUGCAACGACGACUGGAGACUAGCUCAGAAGCUUAUGGUUCACGGUUGCGAUCCGUUGCCUAGAAGACGGUGUUUCUCCCGUGCACCGCAGCUAUAUUACAAACCGUUUCCGAUCAACGAGUCUUUGUGGAAGCUUCCGGAUAACCGGAACGUGAGAUGGGGACAGUAUAAAUGCAAGAACUUUACUUGUCUUGCAAGCAACACGACAGCAAGAAAAGGGUUCUUCAAAUGCACUGACUGCUUCAACCUCACGCAUCACGAGUUGCCGAGAUGGGUUAACCGAGGAGAACUCGAUCCAGAGACAAACCAAACAGCUGAUUUCUCGAUACAAGAAGUAAUUGAAAUCAAACCGGGAGAGAUUAGGAUCGGUUUGGACUUCAGCGUUGGCACGGGGACUUUCGCAGCGAGGAUGAGAGAAAGUAACGUCACCAUUGUAACAGCAACAAUCAACCUAGGAGCUCCAUUCAACGAGAUGAUCUCUCUGCGUGGUUUAGUCCCAUUGUACUUAACCGUGAACCAACGGUUACCUUUCUUCGACAGCACGCUUGAUAUGAUUCACACGACGAGGUUUCUUGAUGGAUGGAUCGAUCUGAUACUUCUGGACUUCGUGCUGUUUGAUUGGGACAGGGUUUUAAGACCAGGUGGGUUGUUGUGGAUAGAUAGUUUCUUUUGUCUGAAAGAGGAUUUGGGUGAUUACAUGGAGGCGUUUAAAGCUUUGAGGUAUAGGAGACAUAAGUGGGUUGUGGUGCCUAAGAGAGAUAAAGAUGAUAAAGAAGUUUUUUUCUCUGCUGUGUUAGAGAAACCUCCAAGACCCUUUAGAUGAUUCAAUCAUUGCCUAAUGCUUUGUGUUUACUAUUGUCUUUGUAACAGAAAAUGUGAAAAUAAGAUAUAGUUCACUACAAGAAAACGUUUCUACGACGAUUUACGAGGAAAUUAUUUCCUCGUAAAUUUACAUGGCGUUUACAACGAAAUUACGAGGAGUCCAAAAUUCGUCGUAAACUCGAUGUAACUUUACGACGAAACAGUUGCAUCGUAAAGUCAAUGUAAGUUUACGACGAAAGUACGUGGAAAGAUAAAUUCAUCGUAACCGUUACAUCGACAUUACAACGAAACAUGUUACCGUUAUAUUUAGGUGAAAACGUGUAUUCUAUGUGCUUUAACUUAACUAAUUUCGUUGUAAAGUGGUUGUAAGUUCAUGUAAAAUCGUUGUUAUAUCCAUGUAAAACAUUCCUUGUAAAAUCGUUUUUAUAUUUCACCUACCAAACUCGAAAAUUUCUCUAUAUAUAUGUCAUUUCCCACAACUCUCUUCCUCACAACACACAAACGAAAAAAAAAAAUUAGGAAAUUUUUUUUUGAAAACAAAAUCUAAGAAAAAAAAUGGUCGGUGGCGGUAGUAUUUACGAGUUACGGAGUUAGAUGUAUUUGCACAAAGAUUCCGACGGGAGGGUGACGAACGCAUUUCUGAGCGGGCUAGAGACAUUCAUGCACCAGGCGGGCUGUACACCUCGGAUUUCAUACAAACUUCACAAGUCUCCAUGUGCAUUUAAAGCUUGUGGUUUAAGUAUGUUGACAUUAUAUAAUCUCCCAAGGAUUAAAUUAAGCUAAUUCCACUAAUCCCUAGGUAAACGUCAAGAUAACAUAAAGAUGAAGUUAAAGUCCAUACCUCUGCAACCAGAUUUGAGUUUAUAAUCUUGUAAUGUUGUUCAAGAACCAGUUUUGGGGUUUGUGUUGAUAUUGUGUGUUGUACAGAGUUUGAAGGAUGGUGAAGGCGAAUGUAUUAUCGAAAAUUAGAGGUUUCAGUGGCGUCAACAGACCCAUCUAUGUCUUGGCUGGUUUGGCAUUUCUCAUCUCAGUAGCUACUCUGGCUAAGUUCAACUACAUCACACCGCUAAGGUUCUCUGGUCGGUUCUGUAAUAAUCAUGGAAGCUUUGACGGCGACAACUAUAUCCUCGGAAGCCAAAUGAGAAAGACGAUAGAAUCCGCCAUCUUCAAAAUCCACCAAGAAAUGGAUGAUCUCAAGGUCUUAGAAGCUAAUUCUUCUGCUCCACCAUCUGAUUCAUCAGCUUCAGGAUCCAUGUUUAGGCAUGUAGCUUUCCUUGCUGAUGUUCUUUCACUGAUUCAGUCAGUUCAUAUGGAGUUGCCUUCCUUCGAAGAAGUGGAUCAUCCGUUGAAGCAGAGGAACGGUGACCCUGGCGAGCAUUUCAUGAGGGAAGAGAUCAAGAAGUACAUAAAGAUCAAACCGAACCGGUUUGGAAAGCAGAACUUCAUGGGAGCUAAUGGAACGUUCACUUCGAUAGGGCACGCUUGCUUUGCCAUGAAGAAAGAUGUAGAAGAGUAUAUGGACUAUGACGUGGGGGAGAUCUGCAACGACGACUGGAGACUAGCUCAGAAGCUUAUGGUUCACGGUUGCGAUCCGUUGCCUAGAAGACGGUGUUUCUCCCGUGCACCGCAGCUAUAUUACAAACCGUUUCCGAUCAACGAGUCUUUGUGGAAGCUUCCGGAUAACCGGAACGUGAGAUGGGGACAGUAUAAAUGCAAGAACUUUACUUGUCUUGCAAGCAACACGACAGCAAGAAAAGGGUUCUUCAAAUGCACUGACUGCUUCAACCUCACGCAUCACGAGUUGCCGAGAUGGGUUAACCGAGGAGAACUCGAUCCAGAGACAAACCAAACAGCUGAUUUCUCGAUACAAGAAGUAAUUGAAAUCAAACCGGGAGAGAUUAGGAUCGGUUUGGACUUCAGCGUUGGCACGGGGACUUUCGCAGCGAGGAUGAGAGAAAGUAACGUCACCAUUGUAACAGCAACAAUCAACCUAGGAGCUCCAUUCAACGAGAUGAUCUCUCUGCGUGGUUUAGUCCCAUUGUACUUAACUGUGAACCAACGGUUACCUUUCUUCGACAGCACGCUUGAUAUGAUUCACACGACGAGGUUUCUUGAUGGAUGGAUCGAUCUGAUACUUCUGGACUUCGUGCUGUUUGAUUGGGACAGGGUUUUAAGACCAGGUGGGUUGUUGUGGAUAGAUAGUUUCUUUUGUCUGAAAGAGGAUUUGGGUGAUUACAUGGAGGCGUUUAAAGCUUUGAGGUAUAGGAGACAUAAGUGGGUUGUGGUGCCUAAGAGAGAUAAAGAUGAUAAAGAAGUUUUUUUCUCUGCUGUGUUAGAGAAACCUCCAAGACCCUUUAGAUGAUUCAAUCAUUGCCUAAUGCUUUGUGUUUACUAUUGUCUUUGUAACAGAAAAUGUGAAAAUAAGAUAUAGUUCACUACAAGAAAACGUUUCUACGACGAUUUACGAGGAAAUUAUUUCCUCGUAAAUUUACAUGGCGUUUACAACGAAAUUACGAGGAGUCCAAAAUUCGUCGUAAACUCGAUGUAACUUUACGACGAAACAGUUGCAUCGUAAAGUCAAUGUAAGUUUACGACGAAAGUACGUGGAAAGAUAAAUUCAUCGUAACCGUUACAUCGACAUUACAACGAAACAUGUUACCGUUAUAUUUAGGUGAAAACGUGUAUUCUAUGUGCUUUAACUUAACUAAUUUCGUUGUAAAGUGGUUGUAAGUUCAUGUAAAAUCGUUGUUAUAUCCAUGUAAAACAUUCCUUGUAAAAUCGUUUUUAUAUUUCACCUACCAAACUCGAAAAUUUCUCUAUAUAUAUGUCAUUUCCCACAACUCUCUUCCUCACAACACACAAACGAAAAAAAAAAAUUAGGAAAUUUUUUUUUGAAAACAAAAUCUAAGAAAAAAAAUGGUCGGUGGCGGUAGUAUUUACGAGUUACGGAGUUAGAUGUAUUUGCACAAAGAUUCCGACGGGAGGGUGACGAACGCAUUUCUGAGCGGGCUAGAGACAUUCAUGCACCAGGCGGGCUGUACACCAAUCAUGCAGGAAAGCGGUAAGAUGUUCUGCCCCUGUCGGAAAUGCAAGAAUUCAAAAUUUGCACGUAGUGAAACUGUAUGGAAGCAUUUAGUAAACAGAAGAUUUACACCACAGUACUACAUUUGGUAUCAACAUGGAGAGAGUUAUGGGGGAAAUGAAGCUAGUAGUAGUAAUAAUAAUUUUGAGGAUGCUCAUCAUAAUGAAGAACCGAAUCAUUUGCAUAAUGAAUAUAAUUAUCAUCAGGAGGAGCAGAUGGUAGAUCAUGAUAGGGUUCAAGAUAUGAUUAGUGAUGCAUUUUUAGAAACAACUACAACAAUAGCUGAUAAAAUUGGAAAUGUAGAAGAACCUAAUUUGGAUGCAAAAAGGUUUUAUGAAAUGCUAGAUGCUGCAAAUCAACCAAUCUACACUGGUUGUAGAGAAGGUCUCUCUAAAUUGUCUCUAGCAGCUAGGAUGAUGAAUAUAAAAACGGAUCAUAAUUUACCUGAGAAUUGCAUGGAUGCAUGGGCAAAGUUGUUUAAAGAGUAUUUGCCAGAAGACAACGUGUUUGCUGAAUCUUAUUAUGAGAUUCAGAAAUUGGUUUAUAGUCUUGGGUUGCCUUCAGAGAUGAUUGAUGUUUGCAUCGACAACUGCAUGAUCUACUGGAAGGAAGAUGACAAGUUAGAAGAGUGUCGAUUAUGCAAAACACCACGAUUCAAACCGCAAGGCCGUGGGAGGAAUAGGGUACCGUACCAAAGAAUGUGGUACCUACCAAUUACAGACAGAUUGAAACGAUUAUAUCAAUCUGAGAGGACUGCUGCGUCGAUGAGGUGGCAUGCUGAACAUGUCCAGAGAGAUGGCGAGGUUGCACAUCCAUCAGACGCAAGAGCGUGGAAACAUUUCAACAAGGUACACCCAGAUUUUGCUACAAAUAUUCGGAAUGUCUAUCUUGGGUUAUGCACCGAUGGAUUUAGUCCAUUUGGAAUGUCUGGUAGACAAUAUUCUUUGUGGCCAGUCAUUCUUACGCCGUACAAUUUACCGCCGGAUAUGUGCAUGUAACAAGAAUUUCUAUUUUUGACCAUAUUAAUCCUUGGGCCGAAGCAUCCAAAACGGUCUCUUGAUGUUUUUCUUCAACCGUUGAUAGAAGAGCUAAAGCAAUUGUGGUCGGAAGGGGUGAUGACGUACGAUUGUUCCUUGAAAAACAAUUUUACGAUGCGAGCAGUUCUGUUGUGGACGAUAAGUGAUUUCCCUGCUUAUGGGAUGUUGUCUGGCUGGACAACACAUGGAAGAUUAUCUUGUCCAUAUUGUCUUGGAUCGACAGAUGCUUUUCAACUGAAGAAUGGUAGGAAGAGUUGUUGGUUUGAUUGUCAUCGUCGCUUUCUUCCACUUUCCCAUCCGUACAGAAGAAAUAAGACAUUGUUUCGGCACAAAAAAAUUGUCAGAGACAGUCCUCCACCAUAUCUCACCGGCCAGCAGAUCGAAGCGGACAUUGAUUAUUACGGAGCUCAGGAAACAGUUAAGAUUGGAGGAAACUGGCAUGUUCCUGGAAAUAUGCCUGAUGGGUAUGGUGUCUCUCACAAUUGGCAUAAGAAGAGUAUAUUUUGGGAGCCACCCUAUUGGAAGGAUCUUCUCUUACGCCACAAUCUGGAUGUCAUGCAUAUUGAGAAGAACUUUUUUGAGAACAUCAUGAAUACAAUACUUAACGUCCCUGGGAAGACAAAAGAUAACAAAAAGUCAAGGAUGGACUUACCUGAUAUUUGCUCAAGAAGUGAGUUACAUAUCAAGAGCAAUGGAAACGUUCAUGUUCCCAUCUUCCGGUUGUCAUCAGUCGCCAAAACAACUUUGUUUGACUGGGUUGCAUCAGAAGUUAAGUUUCCUGAUGGUUAUGUUUCAAAUAUGUCAAGAUGUGUUGAACGAGGUCAAAAGUUCUCCGGAAUGAAGAGUCAUGAUUGUCAUGUGUUUAUGCAACGACUACUUCCAUUUGCUUUUGCCGAGCUCCUUCCAGCAAAUGUCCAUGAAGCACUUGCAGGUAAUUAUAAAUUUAUAAUAUAUAUACAUAUGUUAUGAAAUGUUAUUAAUUUGAUUACUUUUGCAAUAUACAGCCAUCGAAGCAUUUUCAGAGAUCUUAGCACACGUACGUUCAAGGAAGAAGUCAUCGAACAACUUCAUCAGAACAUUCCGAUCAUAUUGUGCAACCUGGAGAAGAUAUUUCCUCCUUCAUUUUUUGACAUUAUGGAGCAUCUAGUUGUCCACCUACCGUAUGAAGCAUUUCUUCGUGGACCUGUUCACAACAGAUGGAUAUAUCCGUAUGAGCGACAGAUGAAACAUUUGAAGGGGAAAGCGAGAAAUCUUGCAAAGGUGGAAGGUUCAAUAGUUGCGGGGAGUUUGACAGCCGAAACAUCUAACUUCACAUCAUACUACUUUGCUCCAACUGUUCGUACGAGAAAAAGAGUUCCUAGAAGAUAUGAUGAUGGUGGAGUACCGACAUCAUAUCCAAUUGAUGGUGUUCCUGACAUUUUCUGCCAAAUUGGACGGUUUGGUGGUAAAACGAAAGAAGUAUGGUGGUCAUGUGAAGAGGAUAAACAUAGUGCCCACACUUAUAUUCUGCUCAACUGCGAGGAUGCAGUGACCUGUUACUUUGAAAGGUAAAUAUUUUUGUGAAAGUUAAUAAUAUGAAUUGAAGUUAAUUAUAUAUGACUUGAUCAUUUGUUUAAUUUGCAGCAUGUUUGUAUCUCAAGUUGAAGAAGCAAUACCAGGAAUAUCUGCAAUCGAUGUGGACACACGGAAAGAUAAGCACUUUGUCAAGUGGUUAAAAUCACAGGUACGUAAUAUAUCUCAUACAUUGAUUAAUUAAGCAAGUGUUUUGAUAUUUCAAUAUUAAUUAAGAAUAUCUGUUUUUUCCAGGUUGAUUAUGACGAUCCAUAUUAUCCCCUAUGGUUUCACGAUUUGGUUCAAGGUCCAGUUACAAUGGUCACCACAUCACCUAUGUAUUUCACACGAGGAUUUACUUUUCACACAUACGAGUAUGGGAGACAUCGGGCAACGAGUAACUACGGAAUAUGUGUGAAAGGUGAAACAGACUUUUACGGGAUCUUGAAGGAGAUUAUUGAAGUGGAAUUUCUGGAGUUAUUGAAGCUAAAAUGUGUCCUCUUCAAAUGUGAAUGGUUCGAUCCUGUUGUGAACCGAGGGAUUCUGUAUAACAAAUUUGUUGUUGUGGAUGUCAAUUUUGGGAGAAGAUAUAACAAAUUUGAGCCUUUCAUUUUACCUUCACAAGCCGAGCAAGUUAGCUUCAUUCCUUAUCCUCGGCUUCGAACUUCCGGGAUAAACUGGUUAGCUGCUAUCAAAAUUACACCUCGUGGACGCAUUGUCGCUGGAGAAGAACCGCCCUUGCAAGAAGAAGACGCUAUCACUGAAGUUGAAGUACCAGAACAACAAACUGAUGAAAUCCUUUUGAUCGACCCGAAAAACUUUCAAUAUGAAGAUAUUCCCGAAGAUGCGAUAGAUGAAGCACGUGAAGACGAGUUCGAGAGAAGCGACGAUGAUGAUUGUAAUGAUAGUGAUGAGAACGAAAACGAUUUAGAGUGAUGUAAUAUUGAUGAGAACGAAAACGAUUUAGAGUGAUGUAAUAUAUGUAACAAAUGUUGUAUUUCUCUAUUGUAAUGUAUUUUUAAAGAAAUAUUGUUUUUAUAUCAUCUUAACGUAUGUGUAACAAAUGUUGUUUUAUAUAAUAUGUAUUUCUUUAGUUUUUAAAAAUUUAUUUGGAGUUUUAGAGUUUAAGUUGGAGAAAGAGUAAGAAGAAGUAAAGAAGAAGAUGAUGAUGUUAGAUGGGAACGAAAACGAUUUAGAGUGAUGUAAUAUUGAUGAGAACGAAAACGAUUUAGAGUGAUGUAAUAUUGAUGAGAACGAAAACGAUUUAGAGUGAUGUAAUAUUGAUGAGAACGAAAACGAUUUAGAGUGAUGUAAUAUUGAUGAGAACAAAAACGUUUUAGAGUGAUGUAAUAUAUGUAACAAAUGUUGUAUUUCUCUAUUGUAAUGUAUGUUUAAAUAAAUAUUGUUUUUAUAUCAUCUUAACGUAUGUGUAACAAAUGUUGUUUUAUAUAAUAUGUAUUUUUUUAGUUUUUAAAAGAGAAAGAGUAAGAAGAAGUAAAGAAGAAGAUGAUGAUGUUAGAUGAUAUGUGACAUUGGGGUUUAGGGAUUUCAUUCUCGGGGUUUAGGGUUAAGCGUAGUAAAAUCCUUGUAAAAAUAACACGGGCCUGGUAACUUCGGCGUAAAUCGUUAAAUCGAUUCCACGUAAUUUCGUCGUAAAUGAAAAAAGACGAAUAGCGUAGUAAAAUCCUUGUAAAAAUAACACGGGCCUGGUAACUUCGGCGUAAAUCGUUAAAUCGAUUCCACGUAAUUUCGUCGUAAAUGAAAAAAGACGAAUCCUGGUAACUUCGUCGUAAAUGAAAAAAGACGGGCCUGGUAACUUCGUCGUAAAUGAAAAAAGACGGGCCUGGUAACUUCGUCGUAAUAUUACGUGGAGUUUACGACGAAUGUCUUUCCUAUAUAUUGAGACGCCGCAGAACGAGGCUGCCUCGUUCAUUCCUCUCAAACUCCGUUGCUCUCCCUCUAAGGUAAACUCCCUCUCUCUUCUAUUUUUUUUUAAGUUAGUUUAGGUGAUUAAUUAGUUAGGUAAUUAGUUUAGGUGAUUAGUAAGGUAAUUAGUUUAGGUGAUUAGUUAGGUGACGGAAUAAUAGUUUAGGUGAUUAGUUAGGUGACAGAAUAAUUUUUUAAUUAUGUCGUAAUUGAUUAAAUUUAUUUUAAUUUUUUUUGAUGGCUCCUAGGAGGAAACCAGCAGCACCUACUUAUUCUCAGUUGUUUGGCGAUGGUUCCGGUACAUCUUUUUCCGGUCCAUCAUCUUCCGAUGCAGUUCCAGACUCUCAGACUUCUCAGAGAGUUUCUUGGAGUCCUCCUCCUCCACCACAGAUGCCUCCACCUCCUCCUCCAGCGGCUGCACCUCAGCCUGUCCCAGAAGGUGCAGUUCAUCCAGAUUUGCGUGUGCCUUCAUAUGCACCAUUCGCGAGAUAUACGGUGGAGGAUUUGCUUGCCCAGCCUGGACGGGAGGGUUUGGAAGUUCUAGACCCCGAUAGACCCCGAGGAACUUAUUGGUAAGUUAUUAAUUUUUAUAACAUUAAAAUUUAAAUUAUUUUUAUUUUCUAACAAUUAAAUUGUUUUUUUUUCAGGUUUGGGGCUAACAACCGUGUUAGCCGGAGCGUUUCGGCGACGAUUAAGGGUUACUACGACGGGGCAUAUCCGAACUGGAGCAUGACACCAAAUCACGUUAAGAUCACUUGGUUUAAAUGUUUUGCGGUAAGAUUUUUAAAUUUAAUUAAAUUUUCACUUUUAAAUAUUACUUUUUAUUUUAAAAUAUUUAUUAUUAAUUGUAAUUUCUUCAAAAUUUUUGUGUUUCAGCAAAAGUGGCAUUGGUCUUUGGGAAUCACCGAGAGGGUGAAGACGGAAUUUGUUGCAAAGGCAAAGAUCCGCCUUUGCAACACAGUCUCCGAUUGGAAGGACAAGUGGGAGAUCUACAGGUAUGAGGGAAAGCCCACUGAGCUCACGAAGGAUGUGUGGGAUGGCCUCCUCGCCUAUUGGAAGCUACCCUCUUCGAUCAAAAAGGCCAAUUCGUGCUCUACUUCUCGAAGAACGAAGGAUAGAGAUGGUCAUUUGCCCAUGCUUCACAGAACCGGACAAAAACCUCAUGCAGAAGUCCGUCUAGAAGCUGUAAGUUUUGUUUUCAAUAUUUAUUUUAAAAUUUUCAAUUAAUUUAAAUUUUAAUAUUUAAUUUAAUUUUUUUUUUGUAGUUAGAGAAGACGGGAGUCUUACCAUCUCUGUCCGAGCUAUUCAAGAUGACUCACGCCACAUCCGACGGAGUUUUUGUGGAUCCUGCAUCUGAGAAACUCUUCCAUGCAGUGGCUGCUCGGAUUGAAGAACGAGAGACGCAACUAACCCAGCAGUCUCCCGAUGGAUUACCCGUCACAUUGACCACCGAAGAGGCCGACAGAAUCUUCGAAGAGGUACAACUUAAAAUUUUUGUUUACAUUAUUUUUAAUAUUUUAACAUAAUUAACUAUAUUAAUAUAUGUUUUAAUUUUAUAGGUGGCUCCUAAAAAGAAGGGACGGACAGUCGGCAUAGGCUAUGUUAACGAAGUUGCCUUCGAGACGGGAUGAAGAGACUUCUCAGAUGAAAGCUCGAAUGAAUAGCCAGCAGGUUCGUUUAGACUCUCUUGAGGAUCUGCUAGACGUGAUGGCGGUGGGAAACCCGACUAUGCAGAGAAUGUUGAGUGAGAGAUGAGCCGCUCUUGGGUUGCCAGUACGAGAUCCCGAAGAGUCCGAUCCAAACCGUCAACAGCCGAGCAACCCCACCGACUACUUCGAGGAUAUGUAGUUUUUUAUAUAUUUAUGUUUGUAUUAUGAAUUUAAAUAUUAUUGUAUGACUUUUAAAUGCUUUUUUAAAAUAUGUUUUUCAUUUUCAUAUUUCGUUUUAAAAUUUAAAAUAUUUUAAAUUCUGAAUAUUAAAUAUAAAUUCAAAUUUAUUAUAUACUAAUUAAUAAUAAUAUAAUAAGAAUCGAUGUAAACUCCUCGUAAACAUUACAUGGAGUUUACAUCGAAUGUUUACGAGUGAUUAACAUCGAAAAAUUUACGAGGGUUUUACAUCGAAAUGUUUACGAGUGAUUUACAACGAAAGUAUUUACGUGUGCUUUACAUCGAAAUCAUUAUGUGGGCUUUACCACGAAAUCUUACGUGUCGUUUACGACGAAUUCUUUCCCUGCGCUUUACGAGGAAUAUAUUUCGUCGUCAACGUAACGAGUCGUUUACGACGAAACCUCCGUUACGACGGACGUUUAACAACGAAACGUCUUUCAAGGUUAAUUCAUCGUAACACCCCGUUUACGACGAAUUUACAACGAAUACUGCCCUCGUAAAAAAUAUGUUUUCUUGCAGUGGUUUGACUAUAUGUUCCGAUUAUUGUUAUUGUUCUUCUUACAGAUAAAAGGUGUUUUACAUAUCUGACAUUAUAUCUGUAAUAAAAAACACUAAGAGGAUGUUAUUCUCGUUCAUGUAUUUUAAUUGAUUUGUAAACCCACAUGUGAUUUACAAAUCAAACUAAAAUUUCUUAAAUUACAAAUCUAACGCAUGGAUUUUAAUUAGUAUUAUUAUUUAUAAAUCCAAAUAUUUUUAAUGGGAUUUUUUGAGUAAUUCAGAUUAAAUAGAUCUAGUAAAAUUGUUCAAAACGAUGUUUAAUAUAAGAAGAAAGUAUUCUUGGAACUGCUGUUCUUUCAAAUUGUUUUACAUAAGUUUGGUUUUUCAUUUAGUGUCAAAACGGGUCACCUCGCUGGACUAGUUUAUCCAUCUACAAAUUAACUUCUUGUAAAGCUAUGGAAACGAUAAAGGAGUUGAUGAUGGUCCAAAAACCCAUCAAGUUGAAUGAGGGAAAUUUCGGACAUUGGAAGGCACAAAUGAGACACAUCAUGCGUGGAAUCGAUGAAUCCUCUGCAGAAACCCUUUUGGUCGUUUUGUGACGCCAUAAAUGCUGGGAACUGCAGAUAAACUACAUAUUUCUUAAAAUGUAGUCUCAUAACACUAUGUUUUGAGACUUUUACCUCAUAAUAUACCCGACUCUUUGAAAUAUGUGGGAUUUUAAUCAAGGUUUGCUUAAAAUGAAACUUUGAAGAAAAUGCACGUUGUCAAGAAUAUGAACUCACUGUCUCCAAUGCCCGAGGAUGGGGAUACAUGGUCUGUGAUGCCGAGCUGGGUAUUACCAACAAGAUCCUUCUUAGAGUUUGUCAUGUUUUUCAAGGUGCUUGCUUGCUUGUUAUAACCCAUUUCAUUGAUCGUCUCAACCAGACCCUCAUUGGAAAAAACUGAGUACUUAGUUAGAGAGUGUUUGUCUUGUGUUGUAGGAUGCUUGUGGAUUCUUUGGAUGCACAAAUAUAUGAAGAGCAUCAUCAAACAAACCGUUGUUAUCUGAGUUUGACCAAAGUAAGAAACUCGUUCUUUCUUCUGCCAAACAGAUCUAUCCAUGUGGGUUUUGAUUUUUAGUUUUGUCACAUUUCUACUCAUGGUUACUAGAGCUUAUAGUGAAAGUAUGGGCUUACCACAACGCGAGACGCAAUGUCUACACUCUACAUAGAUCUUGGGACUGGUUUGAUGCAGGAAUAACCACAAACAGAAAGACCGGAGAAGGCAAAUGUGGGUGAAGUGGUUUGAAUACUCAACUCUGAAAACAAUGGACGAGGAUCUUGCAGAGGAAGCAUGCAUACUCAGAAGACUGUGGCCAGGUUCAAUAGAGAAAGAGAAGCAAAGGAUGAAUCAAAGAGGAGAAGAAAAAGAAAUGUAAAAUUAAGCUGAAUAGAAUGAGAAGUAACAAUCAUCACCAGAAAGACCAGAAAAAUAUGUAAAACCAUCACCUGAAGACGCUUAAAAGAACAGGUUAAAGAUUUAUUUUUCUUAGGUCAUAAGAUUUGUUUCGUUCAUUGGUAUAAAAAGGUCUCAAGUCUCAAUCAUUUAUCCUCUCGCUCUCGCAUCUCUCUUCGACGGCUUUAACUCUCAAGCGGUGAGCUUAAGGAAGAAGAAAGAGAGAAGAUGGAAGCUGGAAACACUGAGAAGGCUGAGUAAUCGCACGUUCUUGAGAUCAAUCUCAUCUCGGCGCAAGGACUUAAGGAACCGACAGGGAAGCUCCGGCGAUUUCAAACUUAUGCAUCCGUCUGGGAUGAUUCUUCCAACAAGCUCAGGACUCGGAUUGAUCGGAUCGGCGCUAAGAAUCCGAUAUGGAACAACAAAUUCGUUUCCAGGUUACUUCGGAGUUCCUCUUCAGCAAAACUUCUGGCGUUUCCAUCGAGAUUUGUUCUGUUGCUUACCUGCGCGAUCAUCUGAUCGGAAUCGUACGUUUCCUCCUGAGUAACUUCCUCCCAACCGCCACCGUUAAAGUUCCGUUCCGUCUCUCGUCGUGCUUCAGAUCCAUCGUUCUUCUUGAAAUUUCCACGGCUUUCUUAACAUCGCGGCCAUGGUGAAUUGGUGAUCGACGCUUUUGAGCUCCCCGCUGAUUUCUUCAAGUCCGUUCAAGAAAAAAGCGGCUGAGAGUCGUUGGGAAUGAAAGAUGAUAAAAUCCAGAUUUGCUGUCAGUUUCGCUGACCACGGCGGUAGUUCGAAAGAGAAUUCGUUAUCUUGAUCGGUAAAUUUCUCAGACGUCGGUACGGACUCAAUGUGGUCUUCUCCUCUUAGAGACUGGAACGCAAUUCGAAAUCAGGCGGGAAAGAAUCAAGUGAGUUCGUCAUCGGACGGCGGAGGGUUGAUGUGCUGUUGCUUGAUAAAAUCAUCGGGAAUGAUACCAGGAAGUUGAUGGACGGCUGAGAUCUCUCCGCGUUUGAGAAGCCAUUUUGGUUUCUUAAAGCACGCAUAUUUGGCAGGUGCACCCCUACGGUUCGGUUCAGAUCAUCCUCGAUCAUACGUCGUCGUUGGGAAGUUCCCGCGGUUAUUAGUCUUCUUAACAAAUUCUAAAAUUAAGAGCGCAUGCAACGAUGCAACGGCGGUACGUAGCUGGAAUCCUUAAAAAAAAAAUUAUUAUAAAACUACAUGGAGUCUAUUUUUUAGGUUUUUGUGUAGGUUUAAGCUGUUAAAUUUUUUCCUUAAAUAUUCCAUCUGGUAGAGUCUGUUAACUAUUCACGGACCCCGCUAAAACAUAAACUUCAUUUCUUUUUGUCAAAUCAUUUCGUUUGUGAACUCUAAAUAAUUCGUUUCAGUAUGAGUAAGAAGAGAUAUCAUAUUCCCUCUGUUUUGUCAUUUUAGCAUUUUUUCUUGUUACACGAAAAAUGUUGUUUAACAAUUUUAAUGCAAUUUAUAUUUACUUUCAACACAGUAUUAAGUGUAAAAUGCAUUGAUCUUAUAAAUAAAUUUAUUUAUCUAAAAUGUUAUCGGUUAAAUAAAUGACAUUAAUGGAAACGUAAAUACAAUUUAAUCAGUUUUUUAAUGUGUAAUUUCUAAGCCACUCUGAAACGAAUAAAGUAUAUCAUAACUCUCUAUUUAUUCGUCUUAAGAACAAACCAUGUAUUUUUUAAGCAAAAAAAACCCCAUAUAUUUUUGAAUUUGUUAACUUCAGCCUUUUUCGUAACACGUACUUAGGUUGCGUGCGUCUGAAGCAAUCAUGAUAUCUUUACUUGCCUAUGGUGUAUCGUUCUUUCAUGCAUGUUUUUAUCAUCUUCACCAGCUGAACUGGGGUCAACUUUUAAAUAGAUUUCAUUGCCAGUGGAUCUAAGAUAAUAGUUUCAGACUACACAAGAUACAUUGUUGAAACAGGGAGAUUGUACAAUAAUCACAUUACAAGAAAAUUCCAGAUAUAAAGAUGGUUUAUUUUAUUAUUUUAAAAAGAAUCUAUUCGGUCCCAGCGAUCUUCUUCUUCAAGGAAUCAAUAUCCUCAGCCAGUUCCUUUCUGCUUGACUGAAACAAAGAUGAACAGAUAUAAUUUGAUUAAUGUCAGAUCAUUGAUGCUUUUAUAGAUUUUAUAACCUUAGUCGCAGCUAUGUUACCUUGAAGAGGAGGUAUCGGUAGACGAACCAUCCUGUGUAGUCGAGACCAACAAGUUCCAUAACUUUGGGAAGCUACACUCAAAACAAACAAACAUCACUCGGGUCAAACCCAUUACACUUUCUGAUAUCUACAACCAAAAGUUUUUUUUCUUAAAAGGAUUGUAUUGUUACCAGAGGAACAGAGUUGAUGGCACCAACAACAAUGGAAGAUAACCAAACAGCAACAAUGGCUCCUCCUCCAUAUAUUAUUACAGUCGACUUGUUCUCAAGACCAUCCCACUGCACCAUAACCGAUAAUCAAAACAAAACACAAAGCCAAUCCAAGUCCAACUCAGUUCAAGCAAUGGCUUCUUACCUUUUCCUUCAAGUCUGUGAAGAGUUCGUUGGUGUCAAUGGACGUUGAGGUCUCAUCUGAUGAAGAAGCUCUCAUCUUCAUCAAUUCACCCUUCUGCGAACCAUUACCUGCGAUUUAAACCGUACAAGAUCUAUUAAACCAAGAUUAUAUAAUAAACCGAGCUUAAUUUUGAAUUUAAACCACUAUACCGAACCUGAAACUAGCUUCGGCGGAACAGUGAAAGAGGAUCGGCCAAAUGAGCGAGGAGGCAGCGGAGGAAGGUAAGGAACGGCGGAGAAGCUGGCGGAGACGGAGGUAACACGUGGAAUCAUCACUGCCACAGAGGACGAAGCUGCUACUGUCAUCGCCAUCGAAACACACCAGAUAAUCUAUUCUUCUUCUUCUUCUUCUUCUUCUUCUUUAAUUUCUCCACACUCGUUUUUCUUUUCAGCUGCGCUUUUUGACUAGACAAGGUUUCGUAUAGCAACACGUGGAUGUUCCUCGUGGUCUUAUUGGUUGCUGCUCUUAUCUUUAGAAAUCCAACUCAGUGGUGUUUAUAGAAUGCAAGGUUUAAGGCCCAUUUAUAAUAUGGAUCCAUUAUAAAACCCAUUGUAUAAUCCAACUCUUUUGUCGUAUCCUCUCUAUGUCUAGUCUAGGUGAGGGAACAUAGAAACCUGCAUACAUGGAAAAAGGAUCAUUCAAACCGUUGAUCUUGGCUUAUGCGGAUGAUACGAGAACUAUCUUAUACAAUAAAGUUGGCUUUGCUCUCUCCUCCUGCUGCCACCUCAGCAAUAUUCAUGGGGCAAUUGUUGACACGUGUAUUGUAUUUUUAACUAUCUGAAGUUGCAUCUCCCGUUAUGUUUUUCAUUUGGGCUUUUUGGGUGCCGAAAUUGAUAUUCUUUAAGAAGCCCAGGUCAAAUUAGGGUUUGGUUCAUUUUUGCUUGUGUCGCUCCAGAGAAAGUUCAUGCGUCUCUUCACAUCUCUCUAACUCCGGCGUACCUUUCUGUAACCGGUGUGAUUAUCGACGAUUGGCAACAUUAAUUCAAGCAUAACGCCUACUGCACCACUCCUCUCCAAUUAAAGCAGGCAUCUAUCUUCCCAAAAAAAAUCAACUAAAGCUUACCGUAUAAAUGUCUUCGUCGCUUGGGAUGAACAGUCAUACUGAAACCAAAUCCCGAAGGUCUCUCUCUCGCAAACUUCAGAUCCAUCAAUGGCGAAUUAGUUUACUCUUCUUGCCUAUUUGAAAGCUGAUCACUGUUCAAACACUUCCGUAUACUCAGUUUCUGGGAGGCAAGGAAUUUUAAGAAAUACGGCCAACUCAUGGAUGUCGACAUGCUUCUCAUAGACAAGCAGGUAACUACGGCGAACUACCACCAUGUUUCAUUAAAGUUUCUUACUCAUUUAACCAUUUAGAUACUACGUUCUCAUUAUUUCAGUCUGUCUAGCAUUCAACGCUCAUCCAAGGAAACAUGAAUGACAACCGCAUCGAGGGUUCAGUUUACUCGCUUAGCACUUGUCUCUUCUCUGGUGCACCUGUUCUAUUCGAUUCAGUGAAGGUACGUUUUUUGUGGAAAUCAAGGAUUCGGUUAAGCAAACUACUGAGCUCUUCAGGUUCUGCAAUCACGACCAACUGUUGUCGUUAGCUAAUACCAACAAACAACUACCGGGUACUCUUAUAAACUUUCUUUCGCUUUAGAAUCUUUCCACUGUUCUUACUGACCUCUAAUUUAAAUUUUUCAAGACAUUCUUGGAGAGUUCAUUGCAAUCAGAGAGACAAUCAACGACACAAUUAACGUCGGGACACAGGGGACACAUCGUGUAAUGCUGACUCUAAGCUAGAAAGGUAGCCUUAAAGAUUUAAAAUUCAGUGUUUGUCAUCUCUUACAACUUUGUAUGAUAUCGUAUUUUCCAAGAAUUUUAUUUUCAUUGAUACUUUACAGGGAAUGUGUGUGUUAGUCUGUUCGACGACCUAACUUUCGCAUUUCAUAACAAAUUGGAAAGCUACGGUUCUGAGCCAAAAGUUGUAUUGGUCACUAGCAUUAAUCCCAAGGUUGUUGUAGGUAAACUACUGAUAAUUUGUAAUGUCUCCAGUGUUAAGACACAACUUCAUCUGUAGGAUUUAUUGUGUUCUCAGACCAAUAUAUCACUAAAAAAAACUCACUUUCCAUCAUGCAGGUAGGCUAUUUGUUAACGGCACUUUUCCGAAACCCAUCUCUACUGUGACGCUGAGACAGCUGUCGGUCAAGGACUCUAUGAAAAGUAAGUACUUGCUUCAGAUACAGGUAUUAGAUAUAAACAAUUUUAUUCAAAUUAAAAAUAUUGGCAUAUGCUUCCUCUUAACUUUUCUGUGCUGCCACGUUUAAACUCUUUAGGUUGUUUGGGGAUGGUUCAACCAGUCUGCCUCUACAUCAAAGCUGGUUCAUGCCCAAAAAAUAGAACCUCUCACCCUUUCUGAGCUUAACCAAUACGUGUUGACCUCCGCAUCUCAGGUGAAAGUCUUAACUAUUUCAAGUUACCCCCUCAAUUGUGUAUUCUAAUUGUUAUGGUUCUAACCACCAGACCUUCACCUUCACUGAGCAGCAGCGUCCACCACUCCCAGACUUUGUUAUACAUGUUGGUACUUAAUACUGAGUUUUUUUCUACAUCUCUUUGAAUUAUAUAUUCAUGUUAAUCACUUUGAUAUCACGAGGGAGAUGGCCAGGAACCUAAUGAUGAUGUGCCUGUGGAGAAACCGGUAGCAUCUAAUGGCUCUAUUGGUGCUGAUAACACUUUGGCAGAGGUAGCAAGUGGUGUGGGAGCAGAAGGUAGUGAAACUACAAGUGCCAACCAUAGCCAUCCUCAUCUGUUGUUGCAGGAUUAAUUCGCUCUGCAUCUACCAUUCCCAUACUUGACCCACAUGAGAAUCGAAAAAGAAGUCCCGCAUGGCAUAGCUACUGUUGCCGAAGCAAAAUCCCCAUUUACUAUACUUACUAAGCAAAACUCUAUGUUAUUUUUACAUUAAUUUCGUUGUGGCUGUUUGAACUAUAUCUGCAAGUUUUUUAUAACAAAGCUUCGUUUUUAUUUUAACACAUUUGCACUUUUAUGAACUCACGUGCUCUCCAAGUUAUAUAUUUUUCUGAAACAGGUACGAAUGAAAUGUCGUACCUAUAUAUCAAAAACUGUUAUAAAGAAUAAUACAUCGUGAGUGGCACCAUACAUUCUUUGGACUUCAAUAAUUUCUCCGAAAUCUUUAAAAUAGCAUAAUAUAUAAACAAUGAUGAGCACCGGUCAAAACAUGAAAACAAUAUAUUUUACUGUUUUUCCUAAUUUGGUAAAAUUAGCCUCUGUUAAAAUUUGUUUCUCACGCAGUUACAAAAAAUAAGAAGAAGAUUGUUUUUAACCUAUAAAAAAAUAAUAGUAACUCUCUCAUUAUAGGGUGUCAUAUUGUGAAUAGAUUUUUGGGUUUUACCCUGACUGCGUUCCACAAAUGCAUAUGUUUUAUAAAAAAAAAUUAGAGUCAUCAAAGCAUUCACUCAAUUUAAUAUUUAAUAGUUUUUUCCUUGAUUUACUUUCGUAGUAUAUGAAAUUGGUGUUAAUCGAACAUACAGUAAAUCCAAACCGAUUCGAGUGGUAUCUGUUUUCUUUAUAAAUAAGCGUUUACAUGUUCAUAAAUGACUUCCAUUCGGGACUGACUAGAUUAAACAAAAGAACACUAGACAAAUGUCAGCAAAAGAACUUUCUUAAUGAUAAAUCUUUAUUCAACAAAAUCAAAUAUUUGUAAAGGAAAAAAUACCCCUGAGCUUUUAUGUACAAUAAAAUUAGUUUACUAUGAAUUUACUAAUGGAGUACUUCCCGGGCUACGGGAACUCACCACAAGCUAUAUCACCUUAAGCUGCUUACAAUGUUCAACUCCCAUAAAUAAUCAAAGAAUGAAAUAACGAACUACUUCUCAUUUUAUGAGUUCUCACAUCAAACAAGAUUUUCAGGAACAACUAUCCAGCACACACUCCAAGUCUACAUCCACAUGCUCAACAUACAACAAAUCUAUCAUUGAUUUCUAACUAUUAUCUAUCACCAACCAUCAAGAUAAUAAAUAUCGAUUUUUUAUUCUACUGUCGCUAAUCACUAUCAAAUGAAUCAGAAAAAAUCUUAUUCUCUUUCAACAUAUAUGAUUUUUUUUUUGUAACGGUAUAGCAUAUAAGUUCAUGUAUUCGCUAAUCACUCUCAAAUGAAUUAUAAAUUUAUUUCAGAAUAAAAUAUACGAAUCUGGCGCGUAGCGCCGGAAUACCACUAGUAUGAACCUAAAGGAGGAAUUCGAACAAGGAACCUUAAAAUACUAAUCUUAUCAAAAAAAAUUUGAACCACAUUAAUCUUAUCAAUUUAAGUUGGCAAAAACGGAUUGAAGUCAUCUUUCUUUUUCCUUUGAUAACACGGAUUGAAGUCAUCUAUAAUCCACAUCUAUAUUCAUUUCUAUAUUUUUCUCUAAAACAAAUAAAUUUUAGCACAUUUUUGGAGUAUUUUUAUGUUCAUAUAUAUAUUUAUUAUGUUUACCAUCGCUCGAUUUUAGAGUAUUUUUCUCUUGACUGCAUCCACCUUAAAAAAAAGUGCUAAAAAUAUAUAUAUAUAUAUAUAUAUAUUGUAGGAACCUUAUUUUACUACUAUAGGACAACUGAUAUUUGUAAAGAAUAAUAAGAACCUAAAUUAAAAUUACAAUACCGAAAUAUAAGAAUAAAAAAGAAUUGCAGAGUCGAGAUGGUUAAUCUCUUUCUUUAAAUCUUUAAACGCUCCGUAGUGUGACGGUUUCAUAGCGCUCAGAUUCACAUGAUACAACUGCAGCAUUGUUUCUGUUUAUCAUCACCGAAAAACAGAAUCUAUCAAACCUAAUUUUGUGUUGUACUCUCAGACUCAAAAAAAAAAAAUACUAACAUUCAAAGUAGGAGAAAGUGAUUUGUUGUUCAAAGUCUACUUUUUUCUAUAAUGCUUACAAGCCCUUUCAUAGAAAAAUAAUUGAAAACACACAAAUUUCAUUCUUCAACAAAAAAAUGAAACUUGCAUGGUGCACUAAUGGAGAUUUUAAUUCUUGUCAAUUAGUAUGUGAAUUUAUUUCACAUUUUGACCAAGAAAUUAAAGAAUAAAAUUAUUAUUGUUUUGACCAAUUCAAACAAAAUAAUAUACUUUAAAAUGAAUUUUUUUAAUAUAUUUUAUCAAUAUAAAAGAUCAACAUAUAUUUGAUUUAAGUUAAUGAACAUAAAGUCCAGCUAACAAAUCAAAACCCAAAUCCAAGAUCAAAUAUCUAAUGUAUGAAUGCAUUAUUCGUAUUGUUCAAAAAAAUAGUUUCAACAUAUAUAUAUAACAAACCCCACUAAAAUCGAGCGAUGGUACAGCUCUUCCUCACCUCAUGCUUCCCUAGUGCUUUCAACGACUAACCAAUACUCAAUUUUAUCCUUUUUUGGGCGGAAAUGUAAAUAUAAUUAACAUGGCAACGAAGGUUUGGUUACAAAUGAAUUUGAAAUCCCAUUUGCUAUAUAGCUAAUCCGAUCCUAAUUAAGAGCUUCAAAGAGUUUUUUUUGGAAAAACCCAUAGCAUCAAACAUAAUUCAAAGCUUGGUAACUAGGACGAAUCUAAAAAAGUACAAAGAAGCAACAAGCAGCAGCAUUAUAUUUUGUUAAGGUUGACGCACUAGUUGCUGAGAACAUGACUCUGAGGUCAAAACUACGCCAACUGAGCGAUGAGUCUGAGAAACUACGGCUGGAGAACGAAGCUUUAUUGGUAACUGUUUACUCAACAUAUCACUUAUAUACGUACUGCAAGUAGUCUACUUGUAGUGGAAAGUCAGCUAGCCGCUUGCUUAGAUUUGUAGCUCUCUACAUUCCGAGCAGAAAUUGAUCUAAUAUCAUCCUUGAGCAGAAAAGAUUCCUGAGUGCGAUCUGAUCUGUAACCACUUGACUGGUGAUGAAAGAUAGGUUUAGUUAUGGUGGCUUUAAUUAGAGUACUUUUCAUGUGAUUUGUGUAACAUUUUCCGAACUUAUUCUGUUUACCAUUCUAUAAAGGGAUAGCAAAUCUAUUUUUAUUCAUUUCUUUAUUUUUAUUUCAAAAUAGAAUAAAGUUUUAACGUAUAAUUCAUUUUAGUUAAGAAGUUAUUUUAUUAAAAAAAUACAUUAAACUUAUCUAAAGCGUAUUAAUUAUUUAUAUAAGCCGUUAUUUUAUUUUGAAGAAAAAUUGAGUGAUACGAGAUGUUAGUUUUAUUAUGUAUAUAUAUAUAUCAACGUGCUUCCCUCAACCGGUAAACGUGAGCCUGUUUGUGUUACACUGCAAGUUACUUGUGAAAACAUUGAGCAGUUCAAGUUCCAGAGAGCCAAAGGGCACGUCAGGUUAAUAAUUUCAGUAAGUGGCCAAAGUGUCGGAAAAUAUUUGUUGUUCUUUAUGUUGGUAGGAUUACGUACAAUCAUUUAUUUGUAUUUUAUAGACGAAAGAUCAUAUAUAAAAAUUUUAAAUAAUCAAAUGAUGAAAGAGUCAUUUUGUGACUAUAGUUGAUAUACAUGGAGAAGAACAGAGAUCACACAAGUCCUACGCAUUCCAUGGCCGCGGCAGAGAUGUUUCUUAAACCGGUGCUUCAGAAACCACCCGGCUACCAUGAGCUUCACGCGCCUCCUGAAACUCCAAACGCAUUAUCAUCUUCAUCCACGCUUCGUCGCCGGCCACCUAAGUUUAUGAUCCCGCCGUCCUUUUAUCCGGAUAAGAAGAAAAAGUGGAGUCGUUGCCGCGUCUUUUGCUGCUGCUUCUGCAUCACCGUCGCCAUACUCAUCCUCCUCCUUAUAAUCGCCGUCUCCGUCUUCUUCCUCUGGUACAGCCCGAGACUCCCCGUCGUACGCCUCGCCUCCUUCCGCGUCAGCAACUUCAACUUUUCCAACGGGAAACCCCGCGACGGUUUGUCGCACUUGACGGCGGAGGCUUCUGCGAGGCUCGAUUUCAGAAAUCCCAACGGGAAGCUACGGUACUAUUACGGCGACGCUGACGUGGCGGUGAGCGUAGGAGAUGGCGAUUACGAGACGAGUCUAGGGUCAACGGAAGUCAAAGGGUUUGUGCAAAAGCCGGGGAAUCGGACGGUUGUGAUCGUUCCGGUUAAAGUGAAGAGAGAAGAGGUGGAUGAUCCGACGGUUAAGAUGCUUUUAGCGGAGAUGAAGAGUAAGAAGUUGGUGGUGAAGGUGACAGCUAAAACGAAGCUUGGAUUGGCUGUGGGAAGGCGUAAGAUUCUUACGGUGGGGAUUACUCUCAGAUGCGGUGGCGUGACGUUACAGAAGGUGGAUAAACAGAUGGCUAAAUGCACCAUCAAAAUGCUUAAAUGGUACGUACAAUUACUACUACCUUGAUUAAUGAUUAGUGUACAUAAAUAAAUAAAUUAUUUAAAUCGCAGGAUUAAGUUGCACUCAUAAGCAAUGAUCAUGAUGAUGGAUAUCAUUUUUCAUCAAAGAUUCAUCAGAAUUAUACGACUCGAAGUGUUCAGGCUUCACGAAAGUGUCACAGUAUCUGAUUUUUGCUUUCCUUAUUGUUUUUUACUGAAAGAUUGCAUAUAAAUGAUUGAGAAAAAGACAAAAAUAGCACUAAAUCAAGUUUUUGUUCCCAAACUAGCAUUCACAGAGCCGCCCUUGCGCCAAGCCAAGGAAACAGUGGCUUCCGGCCUCAUUAUUAUAAAUAAAAUUUUGGCCACAAUUUUUCAAAAAUUACCUGUAGUCUGGUGGGAACAUAUGAAUGUUGCAUACUCUCUUGGCCCAACCUGGGUUCGAAACUCAAAAGAGUGGCCUAUUUUUUUAAACUUGAAUCUGGUAUGGGAUUCCUUAGGACCGGCUCUGAGCACUCAAGGUCAAAAAUCACAAAAAUAGCACUUAAUGUUUUAUCAAAAGUCACAAAUUUAGGGUUUAGAGUUAAAGGGUGGGGUUUAGGAUUUAGGGGUAGGGUUUAGGGUUUAGAGUUUAGGGUUUAGGGUUUAGGGUUUAGGGUUUAGAGUUUAAGGUUUAGGGUUUAGAGAUGAGAAAUGAGGUUUUGGGGAUAAGAUUUCAAAUUUUGAAAAAUAAAA